UUAACUUAUGUAAAGAUAUAAAUACAGUUAAAUUUUAUUCAACGAGUAACAUAAUUAAUCAGAUCAAUUGCGAUCUCUAGUUUUUAUCAACCACGAAUUCAUGGUGCAUUCCAUUGCCAAAUAAUUAUUCCCACUAUUUGGCAAGUAUUUUUAGUGUACCCGUCGUGUAUCCAUCAAGUAUCUGAUAAUUUUUUGAAUUUUAAAAAAUAUUGAAUGCUCCUACGAAGUAGUUGAGAUGCAUCGGACAUGCAUCACCCGAGUAUCGGUAUCUAUUUCAAAUUCGAUUGGAUACGACAAGUAAAAUGAAAUACCUGUGCAUCAUAACAUGGAAUUAACUAUAUCUUUAGGGCAUGAUUAGAUUGAUAUAACUAAAUAAAAAAAAAUGUGGAGGUUAAAUGUAACUCACACAUUUUUCAUUUAAUUUGACAUAAUUGCGAAAAAGAAUUUUAAAAGUUACAAACUUUUCUCACACCUACGUACACCCUGUUAAAUAUAUUCCUUGAUUCGUAUUUUGUUGGAUUGAUCGAUUUUUCGGAUAAAUAUGAUAUCAUAAUUAAUUCUAAAUCUUUUCAUUAUAUGUGCUUAAUCUCACUUUCAGUGUAGCAAACAUAUAUUACAGCAAAAAAUUCUAAAGAAAUUGAUUUUAAAUGGUAUGGACUUAUUAUUGCAUUACUAAUUACCAAAAUCAUAUUAAUAAAAAAAAAACUUAUCCAUCUAAAAUAAUUUGUUGAAAAUUUAUAUAAAUAUUCAGAGUCAGUAGAAUUCAGAAACGAAAAUUACUUUUUUUAUAUAUAAAAGUGCUAGGAAAUUACAUAUGGUAUAUCUAAAUUAACGAUCAAAUUACCAAUAAAACAAAUAAUAAAACUGGUAUAACGUAUUACAUAAACGAUGAAAAAGUGUGAUAGGAAAACAUUCUAUUUGCUUCAGUAAAAAAACAUAAUGUUGCGUCGAUAAUAACGAUUCGAUUAUUAUAUAAUUUCUGUAGUCUUAUAAAAAAAUAGAGAAACAUAUCAUAACUUGGCCUUUCAAAUCAAGAUGGGAUAUGGGUGGGGCAUGAACUCUCAAAUCGGGCUCGACACGACACGAUCCGACCCGACCCGACCGAGCUCAAAUAAUUGAGGCCCAAGCCCAUUUUCUUCGGGCCGACCAACAUUCAUAUUUAUUAUAUAUAUAUAUAUAUUAUAUUAUAUUAAAACAUUAUAGGGGAGGUAAAUUAAUCAUGUAUUAUAAUAAAAUUUAAUAAAAAAAAAUUUAGGGCAACUUCAACUUGCUCCCUUAUGAUUCUGGCUUAUUUUGCACUUUAUCAUCCUAUGAUUUAAAAAACCGCACUUAGAUAAUCUAUAGUGUUAUUUCCAUUAGACAAUAAAAAGAAUCCACUAAUGAAAAGUUAGACAUAUGAAUAUGGGUGAUAAUAUUAAUAGAAUAAAAAUUGUUAUUGAUGGGAAAGAAUUAAAAUAAAAUAAAUAAGGGCCUCCUUUGGAUGCACAAUUAUAAAAUUUUAUAAAGGUCUAGGUGAAAUAAAAAAAUCAUGUAACUCUAAAAAAAAUUUACAACUUUAAUUUUUAACCUAUUUGGAUACACAUUAUACAAUUUCACUGAAUUUCUACCAAUUAAAAUUUUAAAAUUUAAAUUUUAAAAUUAAAAUUUGAAAUUAAAAAAUAGAAAUAUAGAAUUUAAAAUUUGAUAUUAGAAUUUUGAAAUUAGAAAUUAGAAACUAAAAAUUUGGAAUUUAAUAUUUGAAAUUAGAAAUUAGAAAUUUGAGAUUUAAUUUUUAAAUUUUAAAUUUAAAAAUUUUCUAAUUUCUAUUUCAAAUUUGAAAUUUGAAAAUUAAAAUUUAAAAUUUAAAUUGAAAUAGAAAAUCUAAAUUUAAAUUUUAUAAAUGAAAUCUUAUGCUAGAAAAUUUUAAAUAUAAAACCAAGCUAAACCCUAUGCUAAUAGAAAAUAAAUCAGCUAAGUUCACUUUAAGUCGUUAGAUUUUAAUUUGACAGAAUCAAAAAAUCAGCCGAUUUGACAAAAAUUGGACGAUUCACCAGUUUGACGGUUGAACCGCCGAAUCGAAAGGUUCAAAGCGGUUUUUUUACUUGUCCAAGAUAAAGAGUUAAAUCAAACUGCUUUAUAUACUGGAUCAUGAUUGGACUGAUUGAACCGGCCUGUUCGGCUCAGUUCUUAAAUCAUUAGUUACAAACUAUAUAAAACCAAGCCCGACCCGAACCAGUAACUUUUUAUUUUAUUUUAGGGUAAAAUUUAAAUACCACCCUUAUGGUUUCGUAUUUUCUCACUUUAAUACUCUGUGAUUUAAAAUGUAUCAAGUUAGUAUCCUGUGGUUUCAUUUUUAUCUUUUCGUUAUCUUUUUCAUUAAUAUUUUGUUAAAUUAUAUACAAAAAAACUUCAGAUACUCCAUCUAAAUUUAUCGAAUAUUCACUUUAGCACAAUUUAGUUUUAACUUUGUCACUAAUUUAACGAAAAAUUUAGUAAAAUCGAUAAUAAAAAGAUAAAAAUGAAACCAUAUGGCACUAAAUUGAUACACUUUAAACUACAUAAUGCUAAAGUGAGAACAUGUGAAACCACAGGGCUGGUAUUUGAAGUUUUUUCUUUAUAUUCUUAUUUGUUUUAAGUAGGAAAGCUAGGAGGCUGCUAAGUAAUCAUUUUGUAAAUAAGUAGUCAAUAUAACGAAACCAAUCAUGUUGAGCUGAUGAGUCCAAGUCAAAACCAAUCUUUUUUUUUUCCCCUUUUUUUCAUAUUUUGUGGGGGUCUCAAAGCCACUAAAUUUAUGUUGUGGGGGAGUUAUGAAGGGGAUGGACCACAACUCCUGUUCAAAAUCACAAGCACCUCCAAUCCAUUUGCAACCCUAAUUUAUUAAAAAAGAAAAAUAAAAAAGACUCUCUUUCUGGGGAUUUGUCAGUAGAUUUUGUAUAUAAUUUGAACUAGAAAACACUUGUAAUUAAGGCCCAGUUUUAGUAACGCAGAAGUUAAAAUCAUGACUUAUUUUUAAAGCCUAGUUCGGUACUUAAUUCGAGUAGAGCCAGCAAUUCAGCUCGCUGUUCGCGACCCAGCUCGUGUUCGGUUCGAAAUGAGCUCGAGAUUGAUUGCUCGUUUAAUAAGCAAGCCGAAUAUAAGCCCGAAUCAGCUUGCUCGUGCUCGAUCGGCUCGUUAUGGAUCGAAUAAUUAAAAAUAUAUAUAUGUAUCUGCUUCAAAUUUUUACUAUUCAGAUUAUAUGCUAACUCAAAUAUAAAGAAACAUUUAUUUUGUAUUUAAAUUUUUUAAUUUGUUUUAAUUGUUUUACCGAGUAGUAGAGCUGACAGCCUACCUUAUUAAUCGCAAGUCAACUCGUUGAUGAAUUUUUCAUGCUUGAUAUUUUAAAGAGACAGUUCGUGUUCGACUUGUUUGAUAAAUGAGCGAAAUAUGAACCGACCCGACUCGUUCGUGCUCGGCUCGUUGAUGGGCCCCUGAUUAAUUAACUCCGAGACGUUGGGUAAAAAGAGCACUUUACUGAUUUGUAUUCAAACUUAGGUCCAUGCGCAGUGUGAGCUGUCUUUCAUUCCAUUCAAAAACGAGAAAAACGCCGGCGGGCAGGCAGCGCUGCCCGAGCCGUCUGCUUCACUCCUGUCAGUCCGCAUCAGGCGGGCGGGCGGGCGUGCUGACUGCUGCGGAAUAUCAGCGCGCGCGCCGACUAUUAUUAUAUUUUGACCCCUAUUUUGUCCUUUUCUCUCCUACAUGUUGACCCGGAAAAAAGCAUAUGCCCAUAAUAAUAAUAAUAAUAAUAAUAAUAAUAAAUGGGUUAAUUGCAUACAGGUUCCUUCAAAUAUAAUGAAUUACAAAUAUAUCUCUGUAAAAUUCAACUUUUAUAAGUUAUUUCUGUAAAUAUCCUAAUGUUUUUAGAUAUAUCCCUCUAGUUUAUUACAGUUAGAGAACUAAAACUGUUUACAUUUUUAAUUUUACCAUCACAAAUAUGCAUGCUCCUCCAAAAGUUAUAAUAGUAUAAUAUAAGAGGGGUUAAAAUGUUAAAAAUUAAGUAGAGUAAAGUAUUUAACUUAUGAUCAACUAAGCUUUUCUAAAGGAUUCUAACGAUAACGGCAGGAAUAUCUGAAAAUAUUAGGACUUUUGUAGGAAUAAUUUAUAAAUGUUGAACUUUAUAGAGAUAUAUUUGAAAUUUGCUUAGGUAGUAGAUCUGACAAACAGGUUGGUUGGGCAAUCUGCAAAUGAAUCAUCCAAAUUAUUUACAUAUGGAUAAAAUUUAUUUGUAAAUUUUUGAAUAACUAAAAUUAUUAUCCAUACUCGCAUAUUUUAAAAGAUCUUAAGAUAAUCUACUGUUAAAGAUAUCACAAUAUACAGUAAAUAAUAUAGAGUUUUAAAACAACAGUUAGAAAACUUAAGGUUAGGAUCUUAGAAAUAAAUAAAAUAAAACAAAUAUUCACUUAAGUUGCGGGUACCCGUGGGUUGCCCGAUAUACCUAUAAUUUAAUGGAUACUCAUCCAUUUUACCCAUAAAUUUUUAGGUAAAAUAAAUUAGUAUCCAUACCUGCAAAUCUGUAGAUAACCGGCCGGUGUAGGUUUAGAUUGCCAAUUCUACUAGUUGGAUAUAUCUCAUUGGGCACAAAAGUUAUCUGAAUUGUGAACAAUUUUAAAUUGACUACCUAUUUUUUAAAAGUUUUAAUUUUAUUAUCUAAUCUUUUAAUUUGUUUGGUUUGAAUCAAUUAAGAUACUUUGACUUUCAAAUUUAAGCUAAUUACUUUGUUGCAUGAAUUUAUAGUCGCAAGAACUGUAUGAAAUAUACUAACUAAACUUGUGGCUUAAUUACUUGCUUUAAUGAAUUUAUAUUUGUAAGAACUAAAUGAAGUAUACUAGUUGAACUUGUAAAAAUAAAAGAUGUAAUCAAAAUUUGAAAGCAAAGUGUUAUUAACUAAUUCAAAUAAAAUAAAUUGAAAGGUUAGAUAAUAAAAUGAUUCAUAAUUCAUGUACGCUUUACACAUUUAUAACAAGAAAAAAACGAGAAAAAACAAAAACAAAAACUCUAUGGCCUAGUUAGGUAUAUAUGUAUCAUUCUCAAUUGUUUUAUUUUUCUCAAUAAAAAAUUUAUAUAAAAUUGUUUAAAUAAGUCUUCAUUCGUUGCAGGGACGAAGUUAGGAUUCAAUCUUGAUGGGGGCCAAAAUAUAUUUAAAUAGAAACUUUAGUAAUAAAUAAUAAACAAAAUUUUUUCUAAUUAAAAAUUUUUUAUUAAAAAAUUAUCAAUUAAAUAAAUAAUGUAAAAGUAUGAAUUUUAUGUUUUUUAUUUUCAUAUGUUUAACUUCUAACUAUUUUUUUUAUAUUAUUACAUUAAAAUAACUUAGAAAUUUUACUAAAUCUAACAGUAAUUUCUUAGUUUUUUAGUAAAUAAAAUUAACAUAGCUAUUAAAUUUAGUGCAAUUAUUGAUUUAGUCAAAUAAAAGAGCUCACCUAAGAUAAAUAAAAAUUUUAAAAAAUUAUUAAAUAAAAUUUUUAGAAAUAUAUUACAAAAUACUCUAUAAACAAGAAGCUUUUAAUAUAUUUUCAUCCAUAAAAAAAAUAUACCAAUUAGGAGAAAAAGAGAGGGAGUUAUAUUGGUACCAUAAUAUUAAGUAAAUAUUAAAAAGUUAGGGAGGCCAAAACUAUCCAUGUUUCAAAAAAAAAAAACUUUGAAGGACCAUUAAACAAAUAUUGAAAAGUUGAGGGAGGCCAUGACCACCUUGGGUCUCCAUAUAGCUCCGUCACUGAUUCGUUGUUUAACAUGUCAAAAAAAAAAAACUUUUGAUAUAUCAAAAAUAUAUAUACAGCAUAUAAAAAUUAAUAUAAGAAAAAUGACAACGAUAUCAAUUGGUUGGUUUAGUUAGUUGUUUGCAAAAGUUUUUUUCUUUUUUUCCAAAACAAUAAAAACUUCACAAUAGAAUAGUAAUAACUAUUUAUAACAAAGAUCAAUAGAUUAAUUUAUUUGGAUUAAUUGAAUUGCUCUAUACCAAUUUUAAUUCAGCAUGAGACCCAAAUUAAGCUCAAGUAGCUAGUUAGCAAAUGAAUUUACAAGUAUAUAAACAUAAAAGGGGAAAAAAAAGAAGAAGAAAAAUUAAGCAAAUUAAGCCUAUAAUUAAUAAUUAACAAAACUCAUUCUAUAUCACUACCACAUUUCAAAAUAUAUAUAUACAUAUAUAUAUCCUUCAUAUUUUGCUAACUUUAUACAAGUUUAAUUCAGAUUAAAACUAACUCUAGUUUACAAACACGACACUAGUUCUCAUCGCACAUUAAGGGCGUGUUUGGUAAAAAAAAAAAAAAAAAGGGGGAACUACAACCCAUCGAACUCGGUGAUUUCCAUCCAUACGGCAGAGCUCGACUUCACGCUCAUUGUCGAGAGGGCAAAGUCAUGAGUUCAUGCUGCACACGGCGAACUCAGCGAUUUCAAUCCAUACGGCGGCCGGAGCUCGACUUCAUGCUCGGUCGAUGUCGAGGGCAAAGUCGUGAGUUCGCAUCAUAAGCAAACUCGCCAUCCCCCGUGGGACAGAUUCACAAGCUCGUUGCCAAGGGCAAAGUCGUGAGUUCGCCCCGUACCCAAACCUGCCAACACCCCCUGUAGUUAUGAAAAGUAGGUCACUUCGACCCCGACUUCGAUCAAAACAAACACACCCGGUAUAUCCGCAAAGCGCAAAGCUAUUGUGUAGUCACCCUCUUCCACCAAUUCUUGCUCCUCUCCGUCUCACACUUCUCCCCUAUCGUCGCCAACUUCGGCGUCCACCGCCGCUCCCGCCUCGCCUUCACCAUCUCCCUGUACUCCUUCUCCAGCGCCUCGUCCGUGCACACUCUACUACUACCACCACAGCUGCUCGUCAUCUCCUUCUCAUUCUCCUCCGCUGUCGAUUUCAUCGUANACUCCUUCUCCAGCGCCUCGUCCGUGCACACUCUACUACUACCACCACAGCUGCUCGUCAUCUCCUUCUCAUUCUCCUCCGCUGUCGAUUUCAUCGUAUUCUUAUCGGAAUUCAUAAGCAGCUGAUCGCACACGAUGAUCUGCAGGGCGCCCGUGGGCGACCUGCGGAUCCGGAAGGGCCUGACUUUGCCGCCGCCGUUGCCAUUGCCGUUGCCGUUGCCGCCGGCGAGGAGGAGGGAGGAGGCGAGGGAGACGAAGGAGAGGACGGAGUGGAAGAAGUGGGAGGGCAGGAGGAAGUAGGAGUGGCCCGGGAGGAGGCGGUCUGCGGCGGAGAGCGCCGGGACCUUCUGCCCGAUCGUGAAGGCGGCGUCGGCCCGGCAGACGAGGUGGCAGGGGUUGUCCGUCAUCACCUCCGCCGCCGACACCGGGCACUCGUACACCCGCACCGCGCCGUCCGCCCCCACCACCAGAAUCGAGUUACUCGGCGGCCGCGCCGGCGGCAGCUUUUCAUCAUCGUCAGCAGAGAAGUCGGAGUCGGCGGCGGCGGCGGCGGAAGACGGCCGCCAUGCCGCCGCGAAGCAUCCCGGGACCAUCUGCAGAUUCGCAGACUUCAGUCUCAUGAUAUAUGCAGGAAAUAGCUCAGCUGGUUAGAGCGCAGAACGCAUGUAUUAUAUAUACAUACACAUAUAUAAUAGCUUAAUUAGUUGGAUAGAGCGGAGGAGAAAAGGAGUAUGUGUGUGUGGUGGAUUUAUAUUAUGGGAGAUGGGUAAUGUAUACAGAGUACAAAAAUUAAAUAAAAUAAAAUUUAUUAUUUUGAAAAGUCCAUGGACAGAGAUAGACCAAAAAAAAAGGAAAAGUUAGAAAUAAAUAAAUACAUGUCUUUUUUUUUUAAAAAAAAAAUUAUAAAUUAAUUUGUGGAGAUCACUCGCUGUAGUUUAUUUCGGUUUAAAUUAUUUAAGUCCAUCGAAUUCAAAAUUUGCCACGUUAAUUAAUAAAUUUUAUAACUUAUCAAUUUCAUAAACGAAAACAUGUAGAAAGAAAAAAAAAAUUAAGGUUUUCGUGGUGGGGAUCGAAUGUGGAUUAAUGUGACACAGAGUGAUUAAUUAAUUAAUUAUUUAAUUAGUUAAUUAAUGGAGAAACGGAUUAAAAAAAUAAACACAAUCCUCUGGUUGUGGAUUGGUGGCAGGUUUGACACUUUGACUGAAUUUUCCCAACGUACUCCUUUUUGUGACGUCUACAUAUACUUUGUUAUUCAAAUUAAAUUAAAUAAAAAAUAUUACUUUUUAUUAUUUUAAGAUGCGAAUCUCUAGAAACUCCUUUGGUGACCGCCGCACCUCUACGAGUCUACGACCGAAACCACGUAUAAAAUACUAUCCGGUUGCAUGUAAUUAUAACUGUACUACAACUGUAACUGCAUGUAGAGAUACCAACGAAUCGAAUACGAACAAGCUAGGAUAGGCGUGUUCGCUCGUUUAAUAGACGAACGAGCACGAAUUGACUCAUUAAGAUAUUGAGCUAAAAAAUUCAGUUCGUCUUUGGCUUGUUUAUUAAUGAACCGAACACACUACAACAGAAUUAGGUUAUAGGGACACAUGUUUGGGACACUUUUGAGUAAGUGUCCCAUUUAUCCUAAAACUUAAAAAAACAUCUACUAAUGUCUAAAUAUAAAGCCUAAUCCAACCAAAAAUAAAAGAUUACUCUACUCAACCCACCACACCCGGUCGAUUUGGCCCGAUUACAAACAGAAAAAAAAAAAGAAAAAUCAAUUACCAUCUUUUCUUCUCUCUUCACUCAAUCCACUGAAAUUCUAGACGAAGAGCCUUUCCUGUCGUCCUUCUCCGCCACCGCAGCCAACGAGAUAAAGUUUUGGCGGUUGCUAAAUGCUUAAAUAAGUGUUGGUAAAUUAGCAGCACUCUUUUAGGUCAUAGCGACACUCUUUAACUGUCACUAUAUACCUAGCGACCCCACAUAUAGCAACACUUUUUAAAAGUGUCGGUAAUUUUAGUUAGCAGCACUUUUUUGACAUGUACCUACAUUUAAAAGUGUCGCUAUAGACCGUUUUUGUUGUAGUGACAUGAGCUGUCCCGCGAGCAACAAGUUAGAUUAUCAAUCGGUUUACUGGAUAAAAAGUUUGAAAGAGAAUUUUAAAAAAUUAGAAUCUUAAUCUAAGAAUUGAAAUUUAAGUGGGAAGUUUUGAAGUUUAUGUAAAAAACCAGCUACAUUACACUUUCGAUCUCAAACUAUCAGAUGUGCGAUACUUCAGCCUUCAAAUUUUAAUUUAUAAAACUUUCUGACUCGAACGUACUAAAUUUUACAAUAAAGUUCUACAGUUCUGGUCAGUUAACUAAAUAAUUAAUAAUGUAUCAUUGAUAUAGUAGCAAUUUGAUAUCUAAUUAUCGUCGCGUAGUCAUCAACCACAAUAUCAUCACGUCAUAUCAACAUUAGCGACAUAUUAAUAUAUAGUCAAUUAUAUUGACUAAAAUUAAAAAUUUCGAGUCAAAUAUUAUAAAAAAUUAAAAUUUAAGAACCAAAAUAUAAUUUUAGCUAAACAAAAAAACAAAAAAAGGGAGCUAGGUUCGAACCGCACCGGUCUAAUCAUGUGGGUUUGGUGGGUCUAAGGUCUAAAAUGUGGACCAAACCCGAAAGAAUCCAAAUCUAACUAACACGACCACACCCCACGAGGAAAGUAUGUAUACAAAAUGGGUCAAAAUGUAUAAGAACCCCCUCAGCUAUAGGCUAUUUUGAAAUAGACCCCUCAACAGUUUCCUUUUUUUCAUUUUUGAUUGAGACCUUUUCAACUUUUAAUCUCUUCGAUUUAAAUAAUUUUUGUCAAAAAUUUUACUAAUUUAUAAAACUUAUAGGUGAUUUCACCAAAAAUAACAAAUUUAAUUACUCUUUACCAAAUUAAAUUAGGUCGUCAAUUAAUGGUAAAUAACUCAUAAGGUCACUAAAUUUGAUAGAAGUAUUAACUAAACUAAGUAUAAAAAGUCAAAUAAGAAAAAUAAAAGUUGAGAGGAUCUCAAAUUUUAUAAAAAAGGGUGAAGUUAUACGGAGCUUAUCUGAACUAUGAUUCAGUUCGAACAACCAUCUAAUCUUUAAAAGUUUAAUUUUAUUAUCCAACAUUUAUUAUCCAUAAAUUAUACGAAAUAUUCUAAAUAAGUUUAGGAAGAUAAGUGGCAUACGCAUUUUCACACUGACAAAUUGAAUCAAUUAAAAAAUUAGAUAUUGACAUCAAAAUUUUGAGAAAUUACAUAGUUAUUUUAAAGCAAGUAAUAGCUCAGCUCAGCUUAAUAUAUAUUUUUAUUUGAAAGAGAAAGGUAGCAAUGCAAACUAUCUGUUUCAUUUAUUUUUUUUAGAUUUAAAUUGACCAGUUUGAAAUAUGAAAUAAUUAAGUUUUGAACUUGGGACCUCAAGUAUCAAUUAUCAAAUUUUUAGUUGAAUGCGCUAAUUAAGUACCGUCGGUACCGAAAGAAAAUAGGUGCGAGGGCUAUUUUAGAAUGGAAUUAUAGUUGAGGGAUCUCCACACACAUGUUCUUAUCCAUAAAUAGAAUAAAAUAAAUGAAUAAAUAUAUUGAAUGUGUGUUGUGUUUGACCAUGACCCACCAAAAGAGAGAGAGAGAGAGAGAAAAAGCAGUAGCUAGUAAAAGGGAGAGUAAUACUCAGAUGAGAAGCUCUACAUAUCCACCUCAUUACAUUGCACGAGGGGGGGAGAGGAUUUAUUGUUUUGUUGUUGUUGUUGUUGUUGUUGUUGUUGUUGUUGUUGUUGUUGUUUGACCAUUAAAAGAAGAGGACCAUGCAUGCACACACCCUUUUCAAAAUAAAUAAAUAAAUUAAUUAAUAAUAUUUUUUUUAAAAAAAAAACAAAGAAAAGAAAAAGAAGUUUUUGGGGUCUCUCCUCCUUUCUCCACCCUUGAAACCUAUGUCCAAAAUAUUCAAAACUUGUCCAAGUUUUGAAUAUACAUGUAUAUAUUUUUCUCUUUUUUAACCCUAGGGCUUGCAUGUGAAGGGAAUGGCUUUUUUUGCUUUGAGAGCUGUGCUGGAUCCAACUCCUAUGUGUGUACAAAAAGGAAUCUAAAUCUCUCUCUCUCUCUCUCUCUCUCUUAAUUUAACCACUGCAAUUUUACUUAGAACUUAGAAUUGGUUCCACAAGAGGGUGACAAAACCAUGCCAAGUCUCUAUGUUACACCCACACCAAUGCCUAGAUCCUAUAAAACAAAACUGGAUUUACAAGAAGAGGAUAUAUAUUCAACCACAAUUCAAGCUUAAAAUACGCAUGCAUAGAAGUAGUUCACAUAUAAAUUGAAGUGCAUGAAUACAUUCCCAGGGCUCGUACGCGUACAGGAGUAGGUGCAUGCACGGGUGCCCGUUUCUGUACCACACCAUUUUAAUAUGAUUAUUAUGCGAAUCUUUAUCAGAUCAAAGAGAGAGAUGAUGAUCGUACGUGGAGAUGUGAGUCUUAAACACGCAUAAUUAGCGUCUCACGUGGUGGAUUAAUUAGUAUUGUAUGAGAUGGUACAAACAUGCAUGCAUGCAUGCUCAGGGGAGAUCUUAUUGCCUUAAUUAUAUAUACUUCAGUAAGGUUCUCAAUUUUUUUAUUUACUCCUUUUUAAAAGACUAAUAUAUAUAAGAAAUAUUUUUUUUUACAUUUCAAGUACUUCUUUCAAAUAUAUGUUAGAGUUAAAUUUUGUUAGUAAACAGUUAGAGACAACCGUUAUCUCUAUAAAAUUACUAUUUUGCCCUUUUAAAUAUACUCUUCUAGCAUCACCAAUUAUUCUUAUUUGCCCUUUAGUAUAGGACAAAAAGAGGUAUUAUCACCAAUUUUUCUUAUAUGCCCUUAAGUCAGAGGCAAAAGAAAUAUUUUUAGAUUUUUAGCUCUGGUAGAGAUUUAAUCCGUGUUUAAUUGAAGAUACGAAUAGUAGGAGUAUUUGUGAGUAACAGAAAAUUAAUAUACGAGAGUAUUAGAAGGUUAAUAUUAAAAUAAAUACCUUUUUAAUAUCCAAGUUCUUUCAAAUAUUUUUCUAAAGUUAAAUUGUAUUAGUGAACUAUUAGGAACAAUUAUUAUUUCUGUAAAAUUAAUAUUUUGCCUUUUUAAAUAUAUUAUUCUACCAUUGCCAAUUUUUCUUAUUUGCCUUUAAAUCGAAAAGUAAAAAAGAUAUUUUGGCUUUUUUUUUUUAAACUCCGGUAGAAACUUAACCUAUUUUAACUCAAGAUGACUUGACGGGUAAUAAUAAUAAUAGAAGUAUUUUUUAAUAACGGAGAAAUAUACGACAGGUAUGUUUGAAACAACAAAAAAGGUAGGAAUAUAUUAGAUAUUUCAAAAGUUUUUAAGAAGUAUAUAGGCAAUUAAUCCUUAUAAUUUGUUAUAUAUAUAAAAAAAGCCAAUUGUACUUAAUUAAUCUCUCUUGUAAUAAAUAAUAAUUAAUUACCAUGAUAGUAUAAAUUUACCUCUAUAAUUGGAGAAGGGAUAAGGUUAGAAUUUGGUCAAGUGAGAAUAUUUAAGGCAUAAAAUGGCUCAAUAAAUUAAUUAGCUUUAGUUUUGCUUUUGAAAGAUUAGAAGUUCAAAUUAAUUAAGUUGGGAGGGAAUAAGAAUUAUGCCAUUAGAGGAUCCCUAAUAAAUAAGCAAACUCUUAUGGGAAACUAUAAUUAAGCAUAUAUUUUCACUUUUUCUUAUUCCACUUAUUCUCAAAAAUUAUCUGAAAUGACCUAGGACUCUUUCUUUUCCAUAUACCAAAAUUCAAUCAAAUAGAAAUGUACACAAAGAUAAGGGAUAAGAUAAAAUAAAGAAUCUUGUCCUAAAGUAUAAAAUCAAGGUGGACAACAUGAACAAUAUAAUGAAAAAAGGAAAAAAGAAAACAUCUCUGUCGGAUUGACAACGCUAACCAUUAAUUCCAAAAGUUUGAGCCGUCAAAAAUACACAACCAAUUCACUUAAAGUAUAUAGACACAGCGCCCACGUGUCUUGAUUGUGAUUCGGUCCAAUCAACUUCACACCACUUCGAACAUGAUUAGACCCAGCCCAACGUCCCGCCAUCUCGAGAGUUAUUCAGCCAAUCUGACCUCCUACCACAGACGGGAUACUGGUCCCUUUAAGCCAACAAUCUUGUAUUUAAAAAUUGUAGUCUCAUUGUGUUACAUAUUUAUGUUAGGACUAUUAAUUCUUCGGUCGUUUUCAAUAAGAUCAAUCUUUUACAUAAUAUAUAUAGUUUUCGAGCUGGUAUAUAUAUAUAUAUAUUGAGUCCGUAGCUUUAUGAGGUUAUAGGGUUAAAUUCCCAUAUUUUUCGCAAUUUAAUUGGUUAAAUCCCUAUUUAUCCCCUUAUCCCCUAUCUCUCCUCAUUAAUUAGCUCGCAUUAUGACUUUUUCCUAAUCAUUGUUUUCUAAAUUAAUAUUUCACAUUUCACAUGGUAUUAUAGCAGGAGUGUUGAAUCUAAUUAAUAACUUAAAAUUUUGACUACUGUGGAAUGCCAAUAUUUGUUCUUCGUUUUUCUCCAUUUUUUUUUUCUUUUUUCUUCUUGAGUUUCGAUCCAAUUUAGUGAAAAAUGAGUUUUUGCUCCUGCCUUAUUUUUAUUAAUGUUAUUAUUUAUUUAAAUAAGANUAUAUUUGGUUUAUAAUAUUAUUAUUCUCGGGAAUAAUUUAAUUUAUGUUUGGUUAAUUUUAUGGAAUAGUAGGAAAUAAUAAAAAAAAGUGAUGGUUGAAUUAAUUUGAUAUAAAAUACAAUUUAGUAAAAAUAAUUUAUAAUAACAUCAAUUAAUAGCUUUAUAAUAAAAAUAAUUUUUUAUAAUAUAUAAUAUAUCCUUCGAUUUAUAAUAUUAAUAAAGCUUAAAAUUAAACCUUAAAAAUAGCACUAUUUCAUGAAAAAGGUUAAAUAGUUCAUCCUAAGCUAUUUCAAGCUAUUUCGAAAUGGCCGGAAAUAGGCUGGUUUGAUCAGAAUAUUUUAUCCCGACCAAAAAAAAAAAAAAAAAAACUUCUUUUGACGGAAUAACGAUAAUAACUUUUAUUAUUCCUGCUUUAUUCUCAAACCAAAUGGAGCCUAGACAUGCACUCCGAGUUUUGAGGGGUAUAUUGGUAAUUAUUCUUAUUUUCUAUUAGGCUAGGUUGAGUAGAUUAAUUGACUGCCAAUACUUUUUUUUUUUUUUUUAUCAUAAUUGUGUAGGGAUGAUAGCUACACAGAAAAUCACACAAUAUCUUAUGGUCAAAUAAAAGGAAAAAAAAAAGCUAUUUUCUCUCAAUUCAAAUGUGAUUAACUUGGCCCAAAAUGAAAAAAAAAACAAACACAAAAAAAACAAAAACAAAAAAAACAAAAAAAAACACACACACACAUCUAAAAUGAGUUAGGGAUUGGAUUUUCGUUUAGUGUACCGACUCCUAGUUUGAAGUGGAAUCAAACUCUUCCACCUAGCUAGUAUACAUGGGCAAAAUUUUUCUAAUUCUAGAAGCAACAAUCUUAAUUAGACACGACAAACGAACAGAUUGGGCGAUCCCCGAACAGAUUAUCAUAUCUGCAAGUCAUUUAGACAUGAAUAAAAUUUAUCAGUAAAUUUUUCAAUAGCCAACAUUUUUAUCCAUACGCGGACGAGCUAGUGUGCCGGUUACAUGUAAGGUGCUCUAUUUUAUUUUAUUGUAAUAGUCUUUAAAUACAAAAUACACAUAUAUAAUUUUUAAAAGAACGUAAUAUAAUCUACUGUUUAAAUUAUCACAAUAUACAAUAGACAAUAUGAAGUCUUAAAUAAUACCAAGAACGAUUAAGGUUAGAGUCUUAGAGAUAGAUAAAACAAAACGAGUAUUCACUUAUUAUGUGUGUGUAUCCACGGGUGGCUCAGAGUAUCUACAAUUUAACAGAUAUCCACCAAUUUUAUCCGUGAUUUUUUGGAUAAAAGGAUCUGGUGCUCAUACAUGAAAAUUUGCAGAUAACCCAGGGGUAUGAGCAGAGAUAGCUGGUCUAGGCAACAUGGUUAAUUAAUUUCCAUAGGAUACUUUAUCCUUACAUGGAAUGUUCUAUAGUCCUUACAUGAGACAUUAUUCUAAUACCAUACAAUUAAUAUGAUCUUAAAAUGACUUUGACAAGUCAAUUAUAUAUUAGUCCAAUUGUGAAUACGUAAGAACAACAAUAAUGUGCUCAAACGUUCCAAUCCACUCAUUUAAUUUCCUUCUUCCAAAUCAUGUGCUUUGACUUUUUGUACUCCAAUCCAAUUAUGUUCCUUUGGAUUGAUUAUUCUCUAUGCUUUUUGAUGUUUAAUUGAAACAUUAAAAGUGUUUCCAAGUUUGGUCCUUUCUUAAUAUUUGCAAACUAUUAUAGCAUAUAAAUUAAUUAUUUUUUUCCAGUUCAGAUGUAUGAUAAAUAAAAGUUUAAAACUUUUCGUUGGAACAGAGAGUUAAAAUGGGAUAAAUUUUGCACCUGAAAAAGUUGAAGUCUUGUGCGCUGGUGCUACUGCUUAGAAACAAAUCGAGAUUUGUAAAUAGCUCUACUCGAACAUCACUUUCGCAGGUUCAGAUUUUCCGUCCAAGACAAAUAGGCUCCAAUUAAUGCUUGCGUAUGUCCUAUUGCUUACAGAGCCAUACAUCUGUGAUGGAUAGAGUAUUUGGUUUGAAUUAUUCAAAUUCAAGUUGCGCAAUAAUAAUUUGGAGUUUGUGGGAGACUCAGGGGUUAUAUCAGUAUCAAAUUAUUAAAAAGGGAGAAAAAUUGCGAUGUUUCUUCGGAACGAAUAAAUGUAAUAAUAUCAACUAUUCUUUGCUCUUUUUUUUUCCUUUUUCUUUUUAUUUUUGGAAGCGUGGUAAGCAAAUCAAUAAUGAUAAGAAUAAAGAAGUACAUGCAUUAACACACACACAUAUAUACAGAGCAGGACUACUCUAUUCUUAUAAGAAUAAACUUUUUUAUACUCAUAAGUUUUCGGCCAUUGGAUGAAGGGAUGUGUGUAUAGGAUGACAGUGGUCCCCGAUUAGGAUGAUAGUGAUUUCCUAGGGUUAAGUGGGUGGUCGAAACCUUAUGAGUAUAAAAAGGACUAUAUAUAUAUAUAUAUGAAUCACUUAAUUAGAAAUUACUCUCGAAAUAAAUAAACACCAAUAAAAUAAGGUAAUGUAAUAGAAAUAAAAGAUUGAGCCAAAGCUUUAUAGGGAGCCGCGUAAAUAGCAGGCCGAGUUGGGCCGACCCUUUGUUUUGGUUUCGGGCCGGAUUUAAAUUUAUCCGGCCCGAUUUGCGGUGUCCGAAAAGUUUUUAGCUAUAUAUUGUAGGUUGGAUAAAUUUGGUUGGAUGUUCCUAACCUUUUACCCAAGUUUCAAUCGAGUUCCUAACCUUGUAAUUAUUGCAAUUAGAUUCUUAAUAUUCUCUAAUUAAUCUAAUUAACCAGAUAAAGUUUGAACACUAAUUAAUUUCAGAAGGAAAAUAUUUCGAAUACUAUUUACAAAUAAAACAAUUGACUCUUUUUUGCUGUUGAUUUUUGGAAACUACUUAAUGUGUGAAUAAUUUUAUUUAUUUUAAACUCUUUAACUAUCAUAAAUAAUGAGUUGAGCUGGAAUGCUAUCGGCAGCAAACGAGCUCCGUUGCCACCUAUUUGUUUUCGAUAAUGGAGCCUUCAAAUCGACGAUCGGCACCGUUGAACAUGAUCUAUACCACUUAAAGUAUCUAAAAAUCAAAGUUUAAAUUUUUUCGACAUCAUUGACCUAAUGAUCAAAGGGUUUCAAAAUUUAUAAUUUUAAUGAUAGAUAUAAGGCGUUUUCUUUUUUAACGGUGUAAAGCUAUUCAAAUCAAUUGAAUUUUGGUUAGAAAAUUUUUUAAACUAUUUAGAACAAGAUCUAUACUCUUGAUCUUGAUUACAAAAUUUCUAUCAUCACUUUUUAGAGGAUAUUCAUUUUCAUCCGUUCAUUUUUACGUCCACUUGAUAGACAAGAGAACAAUAUCGAAAAAACAUAAAAUUUGAUUUCUAAAUACUUCAAAUGGUAUAGAUCAUGUUCAACGGUACUAAUCGUCGAUUUAGGGCUCCAUCAUUGAAAAUAAAUGGAUGGCAACGGAGACUAUUUGCUACUGAUAGUAUUCCAGCUCAACUCCGUAAAUAACAUAUAUUAUAAAGUUGAUGUCUGGGGCAUAAAGUGUAUGUACUAAAGAAGGGGAAAAAAAGUAUAAGAUCAUUAAAUCUAAUUAUAAGAUUAUAUUAGAUUUUAAGUCUUUGAAAACUUGAGUUGAUUAAGAAAUAUUAGAAACGUAAAAAUGUUCAAGACCUAAUUGCAAUAAUUAAAAGGCUAGGGACUCAUUUGAAACUCAGGCAAAAGGUUAAGGACCUUAUUACAAGAAUAAGAAGAUUAGGGAUUUAAUUGAAAGGCCGGUAAAAGGAUCGUCCCUAGCACGAGUAGCAAAGGAACUUGGUGGUUGGUAUCUGAGAUCCCAAGUUCGAAUUUUAGUUGAUUCAUAUUUUCAGCUAAAUUUAUUUCUAAAAAGAAGCACUACAACAAAAACAGUCUAUAGCGACACUUUUAAAUGUAGGUACAUGUCAAAAAAGUGCUGCUAGCUAAAAUUACCGACACUUUUAAAAAGUGUUGCUAUAUGUGGGGUCGCUAGGUAUAUAGUGACAGUUAAAGAGUGUCGCUAUAACUUAAAAGAGUGCUCCUAAUUUACCAACACUUAUUUAAGCAUUUAGCAACCGCCGAAACUCUAUCUCGUUGGCUACGGUGGCGGAAGAGGACGACAGGAAAGGCUCUUCGUCUAGAAUUUCAGUGGAUUGAGUGAAGAGAGAAGAAAAGAUGGUAAUUGAUUUUUCUUUUUUUUUUUUCUUUUCUGUUUGUAAUCGGGCCAAAUGGACUGGGUGUGGUGGGUUGAGUAGAGUAAUCUUUUAUUUUUUGUUGGAUUGGACUUUAUAUUUAGGCAUUAGUAGAUAUUUUUUUAAGUUUUAGGAUAAAUGGAACACUUACUCAAAAGUGUCCUAAACAUGUGUCCCUAUAACCUAAUUCUGUUGUAGUGAAGAUAUUAAGAUUUGAAAAAUUUUAACAGUACUGCGACACUCCGAUAGUCCCACAUCGGAUGAGGGGCCAUGGAACCUAGUAAUAAUAACUGAAUUUAAAUAUUUUGGUUCAAUGAUUUAGGCCCAACAAAUUUUUGUGGCUAACGGAUCAGGUAGUUACAAGUACCCAAUAGAUGAACUAUACCCAAUAGAUGAACUUAAAUUAAGUAAAGAAAAAUUAAAACAAUAAGUUAAAAUGUAAAAAAUAACUGGUACCCUAUCGGAAUUGUGAAUGAUAAGAAUAUAUACGUGGACUUAAGAACGACGCUUUAAUACUUUACAUCGAAAUUGUGAAUGAUAAGAAUAUAUACAUGGGCUUAAGCAUUUUGCAUGAACUAUCAGAGAACGAUACUUUAAUACUUUAUAUCGGAAUUGUGAAUGAUAAGAAUAUAUACGUGGACUUAAGCAUUUUGCAUGAACUAUCAGAGAACGAUGCUUUAAUACUUUACAUCGGAAUUGUGAAUGAUAAGAAUAUAUACGUGGACUUAAGCAUUUUGUAUGAACUAUCAGAGAACGAUACUCUAGUACUUUACGUACAUAUUCAACAUUAUCCACUCCUCGCGAAGGAAAAUGUAAGUAAACAUGAUAAUUUUUGUUUGGAUCUUAUUUUCGCGCCAAUUUGCAUCACUAGUAUCUAUGGCUUUCGCGAACCACUAAAAAAAAUGUCCUACUUAUUAUUUUUCUUUUUUUUUCUUUUUUUUUAUUCUUUUUGUGUCUAUACCAAAUUACAUGGUGUUUAGUGCUCCACGCUUCUUUGGAACUUUAUGCGAGUGAGCUUGAUUUUUUUUAAAAAAAUUCUUUUAUUUAAAUAUAAAUAAAAAUAAUAUAAAGGGAAUCCUAAAUCAAGAUUUGAAUUUUAGACCUUUUUAAAUUAGAAAAAAGGGAGGGAUUUAUAUUCAAGACACACUGUUAUGAUACUAUCUGAAAUAAUAUAAAAUAAUCGUGUUUUUUUUUUGUGAAAUAUUACGUUAUCACCAAACAAUAUUUUAAUAAUUUUAUAUGUUUGAUUUAUACUAGCGCGUAAAAUAUAAUAAACUAGAUAUAUAUACCAACCCCCACACCUAUAAACCUAAUUAGGAUAAAACUUAUAUAUAGAACGUCGUAGAGCAGAAACACUUCAUCAAUCGGUAAAAGUGAGAAGUCCGCUUGUAAUGUAAACAUUAUUAACGAAUCUUGGAUGAUCAGAUUUCUCCUCCUAUAUAUCUCCAGCACUCUCCGAGAAUGCCCGUCGAAAACAACUUUUAAUUAGAUCAUGACGCAGGCUUAAGCCACAUAAAGAGGAACAUAAUUUUUUGACAAAAACGAAAAUAUUAUUAAUCAACUAUAAAAGCUAAUUACAUUUACCAAAGGCCACGUGUAUAUAAAGGGUCGAUACCUGAUUCCUAAUAUAAUUGAAGAUAAUAAAUUCUAAUAUACCUUUAAAUCUAAGCCGAUCGGAAAUAACUAAAUAAUCAGACUCAAAAUAGAAAAUAUAUAGAAAACAAACGAAAAGUUAUGGCUGUUAUAAAAAAAGGGGCUAUUGCUUAUAUACUCCUGAAAAGUUUCCGACUUUUUGAUUUACCUCUCUUAUAAGGCUAAAAUUGAAAAUACCCUUUCUACGUUCAACAUAUUUCUAAUAUAUUCCUAUAAUUAAAAUCUGUUAAUUAACUCUGUUAUCUCUAUAAAAUUACUAUUUUGCCCUUUCAAAUAUACUCUUCCACCUUCGCUGACUUUCUUAUUUGCCCUUAAAGUCAGGGGCACAAAAAGUAUUUUGACUUUUGGUCUUUUCCAAUAUAUCCCUCUUACCGUCACCAAUAUUUUUUAUUUGCCCUCAAGUUAAGGGCAAAAUUGGCAUUUUAUUAUUAUUUUUUUUAACUAUGGUAGAUAUUUAACUCACAUUUAACUCAAGUUAACUUAACAGGAGAUAACUGUGGGGGUGUUUUGCAAUAACGGUGGAAUAUAUGAGAGAUAUUUUAGAAAAAAAAAGAAAAAGUAGGGGGUAAAUCGGAUAUUUUUAAACGUACGAGGAAUAUAUAGGCAAUUAUCCCUAUAAAAAAUUACCGAAUUCAACGAGAUUUUUGACUUAGCUUAGUUGAGCUACAUUUUUUCAGAAACUCUAACGCUAAUCUGGGGCCUUUAUGAAUCUCCUAACAUGAUAUUCAACAAAGAUCUCAGGUCCCUUUGGAUUGUGGAUUUGUGGCUGGGAAAUUGGAUGGAUUUGGGUGGUGGAGAAAAAAUAAGCCCAUGAUCACUUUAUCCAACCACAAUUUUUUGUAUUUUUUGUUUUGUUUUUUUUUUUUGUGGUUUGCUAAAUGCACUUUUCUCAUGUAUUUUUCAACAUGUGGCUCAUUGGAUAGCUCGAAAUGAAUAAAUUUAUCUCAACAAUUACUUAUUUUGAUCAAAAUAUCUAGCCUUUGAAAAAUUUGAUUUUACUAGAUAUAUGAAUAUAUUGAAUUUAAGCCAGUUAAUAACCUUUUAACUUUAAAAUUUGAAUGAAUCAUUUAUCUUUAUGGAUUUACUUAAAAUAUUUUAUGCAAUUCAUUAAAAUAAGCAAUUAACUUAAAUUUUGUAUCCGAAAGCUAUCAAAUUAUUGAAAUCAAACAAAUUGAAAUAUUGAAUACUAAAAUCAAAAUUUUGAAAGAUCGAAUAGUCGAAUCAAAUUCAGAUAAAUUUUAUAUAUUGUUAUCCAUAAAAUAUGACAAAAGUAUCGUACCACUUUAAUACAUGCCCGCACCCUUUUUUUGGGUUAAUUUCAUAGAGUCUGCAAAUAUAUCGAAUUACAAAUAUAUUUUUACAAAAUUCAACUUUCAUAUAUUGUUCCUAUAAAAAUGCUAAUAUUUUCAAAUAUGUCCCUACCAUUAGAAUCCGUUAAAAAACUUUAAUUAACUAUGGGUUAAAUGCUUAACUCUGGUUAAUUUAUGAGAUAACUUGACAUUUUUUUGCUUUUCUUAUAUUAUUACUAUUGUGGCUUUUGGAGGGAUAUAUUUAUGAUGGCAAAAUUGACAUUUCACUUAAAAUAUAAAUAGUUCUAUACCGGCAACAAACCAGAGGAACAUAUUCAAAAAUAUUAGAAUUUUUGUAGAAAUAACAUAUAAAAGUUGAAGUUUGUUGGGAUAUAUUUACAAUUCAUUAUGUUUGCAGGGAUAUGAAUGCAUUUAACCUUUUCUUUUAAAAAAAAAUAAUUUUUGUCCCUUUGCAAGGUCUUAAGGCCACAUAGAAGAACAAAAUUAGUCAAUAAUAGUAUAAAUUAAAGUCAUUAAAUAAAAUAAUCCAUGUUCACUACAACUUUUCAUGGGUGCGAAAAACUUUCAAAAAGUAAAUAGUUAAACUCCUGAUUUUCAAUCACAAAAAAAAUUUCGUACUGAAUAAGUAAUUACUAAAUAUCUUAUUCUGACAUCCAAACAGAACCAAAACGUAUAAGUUAUCACUAAAUAACUUAUUCUGGUAUCUAAACAGAGUCUAAACUAGUAUGCAAUAAUUAGCAAAUAAACACUGCGCUAUGGUCAAUCUCUAAGUCAUUAUCCUAACAAUUAAAAGCUCUCAUGCUUCAAGAGAAGCUAAAAAUGUAUAAAAUUUAUCUGAACUAAUUAUUAUCUUGAUUUGGGCACUUUCAAAAUUUUAAUUUUACUACCCAAUUAGUUUUCAAUCUGUUCGAUUUGAAUCAGUCAACUGAAAUUUAACUCUAAAAUUUAAGCUAAUUAUUUACUUUAAUGAAUUCACUUAAAGUUGUGAGAAUUGAAUGAAAAAUACCAACUAAAUCCAUAAUGAUUAAAGAUACAUUCAAAUUUUGGACUCAAAGUGCCGUUAACCAAAUCAAAUUAAACAAAUUGAAAGAUUGAACAAUAAAAUCAAAAUUUUAACAGUUCGGUAGUAAAUUCGAGGGGUCCAUAAUUAAAAUAAGUUCCAUACAUUUUUACAUAAAAAAUAAUACCCCUGAUUUGUAAUAAGCAAAAAAAGUUGUUUCGCGCACAAGUUAUUACUGAAUAACUUAAUUAUACCGAUAUCGAAACACAUAAGAUAUAAAUUAAUUAGUAAUAAAUGAAGGAGUUAAUUUCAUACAUGUUUCUGUAAACAUAGUAAAUGGCAAAUAUAUUCCUACAAAGUUUAACUUUCAUAUGUUAUCUCUGCAAAAUCCUGAUAUUUUCAAAUAUAUUCCUCUGGUUUAUUACCUUUAGAGAACUAUUUAUAUUUUUAAUUUUGCCAUCACAAAUAUGUCCCUCCAAAAGCGAUAACAGUAUAAUAUAAGAAGAGUAAAAAUGUCAAAAACUAACUAGGAUUAAGUAUCUAACUUAUGGUUAACUUAAUUUUUCUAACGGAUUCUAACGGUAGGGAUAUAUUUGAAAAUAUUAAGAUUUUUACAGGAACAAUAUAUGAAAGUUGAACUUUAUAGAGAUAUAUUUGUCAUCUACUAUAUUUACAGGGACCUGUAUGAAAUUAACCCUAAAUGAAGGCACUGGGGCAUAAAUGUAUGAAUAUAUCAAGCACAUGUAAUUUAUAGUUUUUCAAUUAAUGGAAAUUGUAUAAGAUGGGGACAUGUCCUUGUCGUUUGCUUGCUAUGCGUGACAUAUAAUACAGCCAAAGAAUUGCGUCAAACAUCUCCCAUAAUAUUAGUGGGGUUAAUCGCACCGUUGGUCCUAAACCUUUACAAUCAAAAUCGGUAGAAUUUUUUAUAGAAAAAUUCUAUUGACUAUUUAGAUAAAGAUCAAUAACUUCAAUCUUAAAUUAAAGUAUCCGAUCAAUCUUUUUUAGGACGUCGUUCGAUUUUGACCGUUCAUUUUAUCCCCGCAUAAUGUACUUUAUUAUAAUUUCAAAAAAUUACGAAAUUUGUUUUCUAGAAGUUUCAAAUACUCUAGGUCAGGUGUGGAUCAUUGAUUCGGAGGCUCCAUUAUUGAAAAUAACUUAUGAGUAUAAAGGAUGAAACGAUAUGCGGUUAGGAUGAUAGUAGCCCCCCUAGGGUUGGGCGGGUGAUUCGUUGAAUAGUAUAUCUAAUAGAUAAAAAUGGUCAAAGAUGUAAAUCAAACGAUAAAAAACUUGAUAGCAUCAAGCGCUUGGUGUUAUCGAUAGUAUUGCAGCAACACUCUAUCUAAAAUAAAAUCAUGAUCUAUGCUUAAAACGAGAAAUUUCCCUGUCAAUUUUUUGAUUCCAUUCGCGUAUUUUAAUAUAAGCAAGAGUUAAUGUGACAUCUCUAAAAUAUGAAUUAAUUCUAUAUAUAAGAUAUAAUAGGGCUAAACUUUUUAACUUUGCUAUAGUAUUUUGAGCAGUGGUUAAGCCCAAGAUGUUAAGUAGGUUAAGCAUGCUAGAGCUAAGAGUAAUUCUAGGAUAGAUGAUCCUUUGGAAAGCGUAGCGUCACAAUUGGUAUCAGAAUUAAUCACCAGCCGGAAGUGCGAGAUGAAUCUCGGUUAAGCUAAGGUCAUAUAGCGGGCAAAAUGCGAUGAAUCUCAGUUGAGCUAAGGUCAUAUAGCGGGCAGAACGCGGCUUCUUGGUUGACAGCCAUUGUGGUGAAGUGCGGCUCCCCACAAAGUCAACUAAAGCUAGCGAGCGAGUCUCGCAUUGCCUGGUGCCUGUACGGAUGUAACGACCCGACCCGCCAGCAAUAAAAGCUCGGUGGGCCCAAACACCGGCCCAAAAUGCUUAAGCCCAGUUAUUAUGUCUAGCCUAAUCAAACUUAUAUACCCUCACAUCUAACCAUAACUAUUUGAUGUGGAAUUAGUAGAGUGUCACAUACUCCCCCCAUUUAGGUCCUGACGUCCUCGUCAGUCCUAAACGCACACAUAGUCCAAAAUCACCAAGUGAUGUGAGAGUUGUCUCGCUAGCCUUGUCAUUCCGACCCUGACUUAGCCUGUUAUUCACCGAUUUUGACUUAGUCUAUCAUUCCGAUCCUGCCUCAGCCAAGACUCAGCUCACACUUCCGGCUGGUGAACCGGCUAUGAUACCAAGGGCCUAUUUGUUUGUACAGAAGUAGGGUGGAAGUGGGAAGGGGAAAGUAAUUUUCGGUGAAAAUAAACCAUUUCCGUUGUUUGGUUCACCGUAAUUUUAUUACGCCCGAAAGUCUAGUUCACCCAAAAUAAUGAAAUUUACUUCCCCCUCCCAUGGGGCGAAGUCAAUUUCGGUGCCGUGAAAAGAGGCAAGAGUGGGAAUUAAUGUGUUAGGGUUACCCUCUUCUCUACCCUUUUCUCUCCCGAGUCCCAGACCUAACUCCAAAUAUAUUCAAUUGUGGAAGUAAUUAAAUUUUUUAUUUUGAUUGUAUGUCUAAAAUAUGAUCAAAUUUGGUUAGGUAAGUUUUAAUAUAUUUUUUGUUUAAUUUGUAUAUUUAGAAAAUGAUAAAAAAUGAAUUUGUUAAAUGUUAAUAAUUUUUUAACUUUAGAAUUUUAUUUGUUGUAUUAUUAUAAUUUAUAUGCAAACAAAUAAUCAAAUUUUUAAAAAUUUUAUUUUAUAAUCAUACAUAUAUAUAAUUAUAUACAUAUAUAAUUAUAUUAAUUUUUAUUUAUUAUAAUUUAUUAUUCACUAAGUUACAAAAUAGACAAUGAUAUCACUUCGGAGGUAAGUAUAUCGGGGGUGAAGAGCUACACUUUUUACGUCAUCUACUUCCAACCAAACAAAUAACAGAACUCGCAAAACUGCACUUUCACAGUUAGAAACAAACAGCGAAAGUGAAUUAAUUUCAUCCCAACUCCACUUCAACCCAAAGUGGACCCACAAGCAAUAAUAACUCGUUGGGCCCAAAAUGCUUAAGCCUAGUUACUUUGUCUAGUCUAAUCAAGUUUAUAUAUCCCCACAUCUAGCCAUAACUAUCCGAUGUGGGAUUAUUGGGAUGUCACAACAUAUACUUGAGCUUGGAAAGGAAUGUAGCACUUCUAGAAUUUAAAAGAGUCUUAUAUGUUGACUAUUUAUUAUUAGGCUAAAAUAGGUCCAACUUUUUGCCUCGUAACAAUAGGCACAUAAGACUAAUAAGCUGAGUUGGGUGAACCUAAUAAGUUGAGUGGGAGUGCGGUCCCCAAGAGAUCUAACGGUAAGAGGCCCAACAAUAGACCAAACAUCUAGGUAGAUUGAGCCAGGUCAAAGACCGUAAGCGCUAUGGUUGAGCCCUUAAAUGCGAUUGGUGUGUCAUUUCUAUCAGCACGUAUUUUUAGAAUAAUUGGUUAAAUGUUUAUUAUAAGAUAUAAUAGGCCUAAACUUUGUAACCCAGCUAUAGUACUUUGAGCGAUGGGUGGUCCUCUGAGAAGCAGCCACAUCAGAAAGCAAGCAAAAUCUUUUCUUUUUCAUAUGAAAAUACAAAUAUUAAACUAGUUAGAGUUCUCUGUAGCCUAAUUUCUUUUGCUAUAUCAUGUGACCACAUUAAAUUCAAACAAUUAUUAAGAAUACUAGUCAUAUAUUAAUCCAUAAACUAGAAAUUCUGACCUCUAUACAAUAUGUUGUAGAUUGAAACUUAAAUUAUGCUAUUUAUUUGUUUAUUUACAAAUGGACAAAUUAAGAGACAUAAGCUUUAAGUUACAUAUUAGAUUUUCUAAAGGAGACCUUUUUUUAUAAAACUAUGGCACACUGAUUAAUGAUUGAUGGUGAUGUGCAUUAAACGGUUGAUGAUGUUAUUUUGACCCCACAAGUGGUUUUAUAAAUUUUUUUUAAAAAAUAGAGACAAGUUGUUACAUUAUUAUAAAAGGGAAAAAAUAUAUAAAAGCUUCUUAAACUCUAUAAACAUAGCAAAUAAUUUAGGAUUAAUUGCAUAACAGCUCGCUAUAAACAUAUCAAAUAGCAAAUAUUUCAAUUUUUAUUUUUAUCCCUCCAAGAGUUCAGUAAUAUUCAUAUUUAUCUAUCUAGUUUGUUACCGUUAAAGCACGGUUUAGCCGUAGAAAAGUAAAAUAAUAUUUUUGUUCUUAUAAAUACAUCCCUCUAAGAGUUCUAACUAUUAGAAUUAUACAGAAAUAUUCUUCCAAAAAAUAUUUUAUCCAAUAAUAUGAGAGAGGUAGAAAGGUAAAUUUAACUCAUAAAAAAAAGAAAAACUCAUUCAUUAACUAGGGCUAAGUAAUUUACUUAUGAUUAAUUAUAUUUUUCUAACGGAUUCUAGGAGUAUAUUUGAGAACGUUAGAACUUUUGUGAGGAUAAAAAUAUUAAAAAUUUGAACUUUAUAAGGAUAUAUAUUUGCUAUUUGAUAUGUUUAUAGAGAGCUGUAUGCAAUUAACCCAAUAAUUUAGUAGGCUCAUCUUUUCAAUCAAAAUUAUUAAUUAUACAGUUAUUUUAGUCGUGCGUCAUACACAUCAACUACAAAUAUAUAUAGAAAUUUAUCUUUUCUAUUUUUAUAACUAAGCAUGCGAAUCGGAAUAUAAAAAGUGCGUACUUUAAAUUUUUAUUUUUUUAAUAUAAUAUGUUAUAAUAGAAAAAUUAACUAUGUUUAUGCCUUAAGGCUUCUUUGACUUUGUCAUUAAUAACUUCAAUUGAACAGAGGGAUCUCUCGAAAUAUUUGAUAAAUUUUAGAAGCUCUAAUUGUUAAGAUUAAAAAUUUAGAGGUGUACGUAGUACACUUUUUUUGUUAAUAAAUUACCACCUCUUGAUAUCCAAGAAAUUUUAUUUGCUUUAAGUGUAAAUCUUUUUAAUUUUUAAGUUGAAAAAUUUAUCUGUAUUUUCAACUUUGUCCCUGACUAUUGUCUUAUUUGCUCUUGAAACAGUACCAGUUUCUUUCCAAUAUAUUUCUGUCCUUGAGAAUUAUUAAAAACGUUUAAAAUUUUAGAUGAAUAAAUUUAAAAUAUGAAUACUUUUUUAGAGGCGUAUAAGAAAUUGCCUAUUUAGUUUAUUAUUCAAUAUCGAUACAUUUAUGCAAAUUAUAUACUUUUUUUUAAAAUUUUUUUUGAGGUCCAUAACAAACAUGCUCAUCACAGUUUGAUCCCAAAAUUUUUGAAAUUUAUUGUCAAUAUUUAGUUAGAAAUGGACUAAAGUGGAAAUUGAAAAUUUCCUAUUUAUAUUCAAAUCUUUUUGCUAGCUUUUGCUGUGUAGAAAACAAAUCUAUUUUGGAUUCUUUUCAUUGAGAAAAAGUCUAUUCAUUUUUAGACUAAGUACAUCAACUUAAAAUUUUGAAAAAUAAAAUAUAGAAUUUUGAAGUCAGAAAAAAAAAAAAAAUAUUUAUAAGAGAAUUUUUUGAAUUUUGGCCUGUUAUACAAUUAUAGAUAAAAUUAGAUUAGCGUUGAUAAAAUUAUGUCAAAUGACUGAUCAAGCGCAAAAUGCGGCUCUAAAAAUAUUUGCUUCUUCCAAAUAUUUACUAUAUUAUUAUCGACGUAGAUAAAAAUUUUAUUUUUUUGUAACUUUUGAAAUUAUACUAUAAGUUAAUUUUUAGAUAGAAAAUAAUUUUCAAUUGAAAAGCUCAAGUGAGAAUCAGAAUACGAAUCGAUUUAUCACAUCCAUUGAAAGUGCCUCUCCCAUCUCUUUAUUACAAUUAUGAUAAAGUUAUUAUUAUAUACGCAUGUGCCCUCACAGUCUUUUUGUUGUACGAUUGGACACCUUAAAAAGGAAAAGAGAAAAGAGCUUCGGUACGGGCCACGUGGCGUGAGAUGCAUCUGUCAAUAGAUACGGAUACUUAAAAAAUUUUAAAGUUCAAAUUCAAAAAAAAAAUCGAAUUUUUUCGAUACAUGAGGGAUAUGGUUUUAAAUACGGAUAUUUUUUAAAAAAAAAGUCGAUGGGUUUUGACUCUAAUUUGAUUCAGAUCGGAUCUCUAAAAACGGUUAAACCUCUUCUCUUACCGAUUUGAUUGCAGGUCCGAUAAUUUAAUUAGGGAUGUCAAUGGAUUGAAUUCAAAACGAAUUUUUUAAAAAAUUUGAAUCCGAACCCAACUACCAACCCGAAUCCUAUGGAUUUUAAAAAUUCAUAUCCAAAUCCGAAUCUGUCCAAAAAUUCGAAACUUGAACCUGAAUCCGAACUCAAAAAUUCGAACCUGAAAUAAUUAUUUCUCUUUAUAAUAUUUACAAUAUAUUAUAUUAAAUCUAAACUUUUAAAAAUAUAAAUUUAAAUACAGCAUCAAACAUAUAUAUAUAAUGUAAAAUAAUUUCAUAUUAGUGUCGGAUUCAAAUAGGAUACAAUUAAAAAUUCAUAUCCGAAUUUAAAUCCAUUAGGUUUUCAUUUUUAAAAUUCAUAUCUAAAACUAUAUCUAUUUAGUAUCGAACAAAUUCAUCUCGUACGGAUUUGGAUUCGGAUAAAAUUUCGAGUAUCAAUAUCUAUAAACAUCCCUAAUUUCGAUGCAUGGCACAAAUAUAAAUGUGUGAGUUGUUUUCACAAUUAUCGAUAGUUGAGGGGUCUUUCUACAAUUUUUACGAGCUAAAAAACAGCGGCACAUCGCCACGGCCCUGUCGCAUUCGCGCUUGCUUUUGUCGCGGCAUAGAAAAACAAUUCCAUGAACCGCGAGCGCCACGUCAUCCGUAGAUUAGUAAAUUAUCUACCGUUCAAUUUUUGCUCCCGCGGCCGAAACUUGUCGGUUUAUGAUGACGUGGCACGGUGAGUCCACGCAGAAAAUAUCUCGGUGGUGUGGCCUACGAAAUCAAAUAUAUUUAAAAUUUAAAAAAAAAUCCGAAUAAAAUUACACCACGAGUCCCCAACCUUUGCAAUGCAUUUUCACUUUGGUACCUAACUUUUUAUUUUUAGCAACGAAAUCCCUAACAUAUAGAUGCCGACCCUCUAAUUUUCUAUUACGGAAUUGAAACACAUCAACUCUGAUGAAGUCCUAUUUAUUCACAUAAAUUAUAGCAUGAUCUAGUAUCCCCACUAGUCAAUUACAGUAAAGCCUAUUUAUUUUCACUAAAGGUGAAUUUCAUAUUAAAAUAAACUUUCAGGUAAACUAAAAUUCGUGAUAAAAAUUAAUUUUUAAUUAUUUAUUUGUAUAAUUAUGCAGCUAAAAUUUUUUCAGUUCUCACAUUUUUUUCUAUUAAUUUUGAUUUGAUAUGUGCCGAAGCCAAUCACGUUAUUAGCUUAUUUAGUGAGGGAGAACACCCAUGGUGAGGAAAAAAAAAAAUAGGGGGCAAAUCAAAAGUGGAGUAAAGGAUGAGGACCACCCCGAAAGUUUACAUUAAUUAAUUUUUUAAAUUAUUAAAAAAAAUUUAAAAAAUUAUGAUGAUAAUGAUGAUGAUGAUGAUGAUGAGAAUAAAAGGGGGCGACGCGGUCAUUGUGGGGAGGAGCAUUUUGGCCAUAAUAAAAUCCCCAAAUCUCUCUCUCUCUCUCUCUCUCUCUCUCUCUCUCUGUGUUCGAUUCGUAGCAACGCCUCUCAUCUCUAAGCGUGGAGUAAUCGAUCAAUUGUUGUAAGCAUUAAUCCUCUUCCUUUGUGGUUUUUACCCUAAUUUUCCGGAUUUUACUGCAUUUUUUGGCGUAUUUUUGGCUUAAUUUCACUUCAAAUUGGAGAUUGUAGUGAGCUCCUCUUAGUUUGUGGAAUUUCGAGUUUCGGAGCUUAUUUUGAUGUAAUUUUUGCUUGGUUUGGCUCAAACUAGGGAACCCUAGGUCGGAGAAGUGUUGGAGUUGGUGAUCUUAGUGGGGAGGAGAUGGGGAGACGAGGUGCCCUCGGAUUCGCGGCGAGAUUCGCCGUUUAAGUUGAUGGAAACAUCGGUGAGGUCCCUUUUUGAUCCUGGUUCCGAAUCUCGAUCGCCUCCUCCUCGAUUUGUUUCUUGUGAUUUUUGUCGAUUAUUUUUUGGUUUGAUUCGGUUUGCUUUGUUAGGGAAUCGGUUGGAAAAGAGUUGGUUUUGGAACUGCGUUUGUUGCAUCUUAUCCAUGGGUUCGUUCGUUAAGGAGAAGGCCCCCGUUCUUUUCGCAUUCGCAGGUAAAGGUGUUAUCAUCAUCUUUUUGUGAUUUGUUACAAUAGAGGUUAAAAUGGUUAAUGAGAGGAGGGAUCUUGUGGAGACCGUACAAAGUUGGUUUCUUGUGAAAUGAUUUAUCCAUUUGAUGUUGUGUAAUUAAAACAUCCCCAGGAAAAGGAUUGUGAUUUAGAUUUGACAAGCUUAUCCUCGGAAAAUCGUAGAAAACUACUUUUCAAAAAAAAAAAAAAAAAAAAAAAAUUCCAUAGAAAACACCCUUUCCAUAGUUUUCAUUUUAUUUCUACUUUAACUGGGAGCCAAACAGACGGAAAAUAUUAUUUUUCCAAUUAGAAAAUUGUUUUCUGGGAUAUUUUCCGAGAAACCAAGCACCCCUUUAGAUCUUGUUAUUACUAUCUUGCCAUUUAGAUAGAUCUCGCUUUAUUUAUGGAGUGUUUAUUUUUGCAUCCAUAUCCCUGGGCAUAUCCAAAAUCUUAUAGAUAUCCUUGAAUCUUGGUCUUUGUGGCGUACCCUCAGAAACCUUGCUUAUUUGCGCACUUGCCGUGCCAGGAGUAUACAUGCAAAAUUAUUUUUCAGGGGUGUGGAAGCAUAUGGCAAUUUUCAGGGUCUUCGCGCUAUUUCGAAUAUUGUUAUGCACGCGAGUAUAAACCGUACGAUACUGCUCGUUGAUUAGUGCAUCAGCACAUGAAUUAUUAACAUGUAACCAUAAAAAUUGUAUUAGUCAUUUCACCGUUAAAGUAGAUAGUUGAUUUAUUCCAUUUAACAUAGCUGCAUAAUAGUCAUAUUCUUCUUUAUCUGAUUUGCUGAAUAUGGGUUUUGUGGAUGUUCCCCAACUCUGUAAUAUUAUAUUAUUACUACUUUUGUGGUAAUAAUGACUGUCCAGCCAUUUUUUGCCUUCUUUUGUUACUGGAUGUAAUGUUCAAAAAAUCUUUCUUGGUUGAUAUGGUAUCAGCAUAUAAUUUUAUAUUUCUGCCAGCUUGUUGCUUUCGCUGCAAUGCUCUUUUUGGAUUAUUGGUAUGGAAUUUGUAAAUAAUAUGCCCCUUUUUGAGUCAGCGUAUAUUUCGUUUGCGUAUUCUUAGUUCUGCCAUGGGAUUACAGAAUACAGUUGCAUGAUUCAAUUGAUUGUGAGAAAUGUCGCUAAGGUGUCCUAUGAACUAUAAUGAACUUUAUUGUGAAUUCAGGAGAUUUUAUUCGUUUACACUGUGUGUGGUUUCCUUAAAUUUCACUGACUGAGUGGUGGUUCUAUCUCAAGAGGAACUGAGGAUCUAAUAUUUGCUUUUUUGUAUCCACCAAUCAGAUCGUACCAAACUAUUGGCCAAUUGAUUUUUUUUAAAAAAAUUAUUACAUAGGUAUAAGCCACAUGAUAGAAAGUUCUGCGCACACCAACUCUAUGAUCAUUUUGCAUAGAUAGGCGCAACCAAUCCUUUGUCCAGACUAUUGAAAUAUGAGAUUCUAGAAAAUUGUCUGGUAAGACAUGUACAAUGAACAGUCUGCUGGACAAAUGAAAGAUUUGCAAAGAAUCGUUGAAUCAUCAAGAGGACGCUCAAAUUGGUAGAGUAUUAUUCGAUCGCAUGUCUGAUGUAAUUAGUAAACGAAUGAUAAGUACAUGUAAAUGCAGAUGGUAGGGAGUAAUAACUUUAAUUGUAGAAAUAAUAUGGCAUAUACUAUAUAUUAACCCAUAAUAGGCUUGACGUGCUUCACAGUGAGUUCUCAUUUUUCUUUAUGAGAACCACUAUUUGAACUAGUCAUUAUCAUAGUAAGUUGUGCUCUUAUUAUUCCACUUAUUUCUAAUUAAUUAUUUGCCAUAUGUUGUAUUUAGAAUUCUUUUUUGCUUUUUUUUUUUUUUAUGUCCUCAUUGUAAUAAUUUUCUUACUUGCUAAAGGAGUCAAUGUUGUUCACAAGAGAUUAAUUAUCUUCCAAUGCAACUUUUUUCGUAGGGUUGGUUUGCUUUUGGUUUUAAAUAUAAAAAGAGUUUGUCAUUCGGUCUGGUAUAGAGUUGAGCCAAAUUUUGAGCAGAAGAGCAAAAUUUUCUACAGAAUGAUUCGCCUCCCAUCUUUUCCUUCAGAUACAAUGGAAGAAUUUGAAGAACAUGCCGAGAUAAACAGCGACCUUAAAGUCAGCUUCGGCUAUCACUGCAACUCCUCCCGAAGUUGUUUCGCUGAAGCUAACUAUGAAUGUGAACUUUCUUCGGGGCUUCAAAUUCAAGAUUCCAAAAUCAAGUCUCGGAGUAGUUCAUUUUCCUGCUUAUCUGGCGCUGCUAUUAGUGCGAAUUUCACAUUAGCAAAUACCAAUAUAUGCAACGGACUAAUUGGGGAGGAAAUUCUACCGGAAUUGGACUCGCCAAAUUCAUUCAGAAAGAUGACGCUUUCGCCCUCUGUCUCGCGAUUGGACCUGCUAUCUUCCUCUCAGGGCAGCGUGUCAACUGAUAAUGAAAACGGUGAAGUUGGUAAACACUUUUGGCAAUCUAUGAGUGCUCCUACUAGGGUAGAAUCCUCAAGUUUUCUCAAGGGCAUGGAUGUACAGAUGGCUGGGGGAGCAGCUGGAGAAGAUCGGGUCCAAGCUGUAUGUUCUGAGGAAAACGGUCUGCUAUUUUGUGGGGUGUACGAUGGGUUCAAUGGCCGAGAUGCAGCCGAUUAUUUGGCCGGAACGCUGUACGAUAAUAUAGGGUAUUAUCUGUAUUUGCUGGAGUGGCGCAUCAAACAACAAAAUGAACUCAGCGGCUCACAUGAAGAAAAUCAUUUUCCGUGCAGCGAUGGCUUAGUCAAGAGCAACUUAUCUUUGGCCAUUAAGAGAUCAGAGACCGAAGAUACACAAAAGAUGCCACUUAAUACUAUAGAUGUCUUGGAUUGCCUUACUCAAGCUCUUGCACAAGCUGAGAGCGAUUUUAUGAGAAUGGUCGAGCAAGAAAUGGAAGACAGGCCUGAUUUAGUUUCUGUUGGGUCCUGUGUGCUGAUUGCUCUUCUUCAUGGGAUGGAUUUGCAUAUUUUGAAUCUCGGAGAUAGCAGAGCAGUUCUGGCUACUUGCAAUGCUUCCGGAAGCGGUUUGUUGCGCGCCAUUCAACUAACAGAGACCCAUAAUGUUGAUAACGAGUUAGAGCAUAAAAAACUCUUGGCGGACCAUCCUGAUGAUACUGCAGUCGUCCUCGGCGGCAAAAUAAAAGGCAAAUUGAAAGUAACUCGUGCAUUUGGGGUUGGAUAUCUGAAAGAGGUAAACAAUUUGCUUUAAAAUUUAGACAUGACGUACUCUCUAUAUUUUGAGUGAACUAAAAAUCUUUUUAAACAGAAAAAAUUCAAUGAUGCACUGAUGGGCAUUCUUCGUGUACGCAACUUGCGUAGCCCGCCGUAUGUCUAUACCAAUCCGCACACCUUAAGCCAUCGGGUGUCAGAGAGCGACUUGUUCGUUGUACUUGGCAGCGAUGGACUCUUUGAUUUCUUCAGCAACGAUGAAGUUGUGAAACUAGCUCAUGAGUUUAUCCAGGGUAAUCCGUGUGGCGAUCCCGCCAAAUAUCUAAUCGAGCAACUUCUUCUUCGAGCGGCGAAAAAUGCAGGUAUCUGUUGGAUACGUAUUAUGCCUUAUAUUCUCAUACUGCAAACUUUUCUUCUACUCACACGCGGAGAGUGAUUUUACAUACAAGUAUGCAACUGUUGACUGCAAUACUGUGGAUUGCAUAAACCAUUUAGCCUUUUCUUUUCAUCUGAAAGUCAGUUUAUAGAGACCCAGGUUCAUGCAUCUUCAUAAUCCUGCUUUCUUUCUGGUCUUUUUCACUGCAAUAAUCUCAUAAAAUUCCGAAAAAUUUCAUGCCAAGCAUUGUAAAACAAGCAAAUUUGUUUAUUACAAGCUAAAAAUCCAUGAUCUAGUUUUGCUUUCAAAGCCGUCUUCUCAUCUUAGGACUUGUACUGCUUUGAAAUGCUUCGAGUUUUGAAAUACGUUCCUUGCUAUCUAUCAACAUCGGAUGUUGUAUCUUUCUCUUCGUGGCCCGAUUUACAGGUUUGAGCGCCGAAGAGCUGACGAGGAUACCAGUCGGGAGGAGGAGGAAGUAUCACGAUGACGUCACCGUCAUUGUGAUCAUCCUGGGAAAUAAGCAGCGAACUUCAAGGGCGUCGACGUCGUAUUAAUCAGCAUCGAAAUCUUUGGAUCUCGCAUUCUAUCCUUCGCCUUUUAAGUUUUGAAGGACCACGCGAGCACAUCAUUUCCACGACAUGUGGUGUAAAUAAUUCGUGUCCGAAACCUCCUAGUGGCGAUGUUUGAGUCCUUUUUUUACCCCUUUUUUUUUUUGGUUGGAUUUAGGUUUUGGUUAUUGGGUAAUGCGACGAUUAGUCGGUUUGUUUUCGAAUAAAUAACAGUAGUGCAUGAUAUACUGUAUGCUAAGCUUCGGUGCUUUUGUAUUCAUGUCCUGCAAAAACCCUGCUCAAAGUUAAAGAAAUUUUGAAGUUGCAGAAGAAAUUGUUGCUUUGGUAGCUGAUUCAGAUCAUCCUUUUCUCUUCAUCUUUUUUUUUCUUUAUUUUUGAGGGGCCAAGUAGAACUAACUCUUUGCAGGCUUUAUUAGAGAAGUAAUUUGUUAUGGUGCAGUUGUUGUUAUCUUGUAUACUGUAAUAAGGCUCAGUAUUUUAUUUUGUUAUGAAAGUGAUGUUUACUUUGUACCUUAUCUAAGAUGGAUAUAAUUAUAAUAAUAAUAUUUGGGAAAAAUGUACAAAGGCCUCCUGAGUUUUGGCUCUUUUGCAAAUAGGUCUUUGAAGUUUUAAUUUUGGUAAAAAAGAAAAAGGUUUAAAUUUAACAGGUAGUUCCAUAUGUUCCUCUCCUCAAUCUAAGUUACUAAUUAUACAGUCGUUUUAGUCCUACGUCAUGUAUAGAACUUUUUAGAACUUUUUAAAACUUUUAAAACGCCGAAAUUUGUUUCUUUAAAUGCAUGAAUAAAACAAUAAGAAUCGAAGCUAGGCUCGUCCUAUUUUCGCAAUUCUCAAGUUUAAUUAUCAAAAAUUUUUUAAAAAAUUAGGGUUUUAUUUUUAUGUACACAUCUUACAAAAAUCAUGUGCAAGACAGGCAAUCAAGACAGCUAUAUAAUCAGUAACUUUGAUUCGGAAGAGGGUCCUACCGAAAUAUUUGAUAAAAUUUGAGGAGUCUAUCUGUCAAAAUUAAAAGUUAUCUUCAAAAAUGCUACAAUUUAGAGGGCUUGUAUAAAUUUUUCAUAAAUUUAUCGUAGAGUAUUACCAAAAUACCCUUCUAAAUUCCAAAUUCCACUAGUAAACCCUAAAAGUUUGGGGAUAUUUGAAGGAAUUUUUAGAAAUUAAGAAGAGCAUUUUGGUCAACCAGAGAUAUGUUAGAUAGUUUCGAAGUUUUAAACUUAUCCCUUAAACUUAUGAUGAAGUUGAUCUGGGAAUGAUUAAUCCGAAAUCAGCUGACGAAAGAGCAUAUGUAACAAACAAAAAAAUAAUAGAAGGGUCAAUUUUAGGCUUAAUUACGUUCUAUUGUACUAUACUUUUUUCCAAAGACACGUUGUAUUAUCAUAUUUUAUCAAUCUUUACGCUACGUUUUAAAUUUCUUUUUUCGUUUCUCUACUUUGUACUUUUUUACCGUAAAUAUUACUAAACUAUUUUAUUCUCGCCAAUGUCUACAUUACUUUUUAACAAAUUUACUAUUUUAGAUAAAAUUUGACAACUCUAUUAAGAGAAACUAGUCAAAUAGUAGGAAAUCGAGAAACUGAAUCUUCAUAGCAGACUUAUUGAAAACUUCUAUCAAAUUAUUUUUAAAUAGUUUUUUUUUAUAUUUUUUUUUAUUUUUGUGUUAAAAUGGGCCGAAUAUAUGUUCUGACGUUUUCAGCCAGUAUGUUUCAACAACUUUUAUAUAAAAUUAUAAAUUUAUUACUUAUGAUAUAGGAAUUGAAAAAAUAAUGCCUUUGAAAAUAAAAAAAUAGUAUAUUGCAGAAAGUGAAAAAUCUAUAAAGAAUGAUGUAGUAUAGUAUAAUUAAGCCUAAAUUUUAUUGUUUAUAUUUUUUAAGGGUAAAUAUAAAAGUCCCAUAUUUUUAAGAGAUUUUUAGGUAAUUAUACCUAGAAAUAUCUAAGAGAGCAUCUAAUCACUGUGGGAUUGAUAGAUUAUGCUGGUGAAAUAUUAUUAUUAUUAUUAUUAUUAUUAUUAUUAUUAUUAUUUAAUCACUUUUGGCAAAGAUAUGCUGGUGGGAAGCCAUGCUAAAUAUUUUUUUUUACCAUUAAUUGCACUGUUGGGCCCUAACCUUUACCUAUUCUUUCAGAUUGAUCCCUAACCUUUCUUUCCUGCUAUUAACUCCCCAUUUUUUUUAUUUUUUUGCACUUUGGUCCCUGCUAUCCAAAUUUUUAUUAAUUUUGAUAGAAUAGUUUCACCUUUAACUUUGAUAUAUAUAUAGUCAUGACUGCAUGACAUAUAGCCUUUGGUUAUUUUAAGUUUUAUAAUAAUUUUUGUGGUAUAUUUGGUUUGGUGCUGAAAUGUCAAAUGCUCCAAAAGAGAUAAUAGAUGCCAUAUGUGAAAUCGAGAUGGUUAUAUGAAUGAAAAACGAUGUUAAGAGUGGCAAGGUUGGGCUUGACGGAAUGAGCAUAUAUACGGGAGAAGAGGUUAGGAAUAAUAGUGAAAAAAUAGGGGCAAAGUUUAGGAACCAAUGGUGCUAUUAAUCCUAAAAGUAAAGAACCUGAUUGCCGAGGACAAAAAAAAAGAUUAAGAACCAAAAUAAAAAACAGGAUAGAUCGGGGACUGCUGAUGUAAUUACUCUUUUAUUUUAGUACUAUGCCAUCCAUACCUAUAAUAAAAUGCAAGAUAUACAUCUUAACCUCUUCCUUACUUAACAGUGUUCUUCUUGUUUUUUCUUUUUCUUUUUAACCAAAAAUCCAAGAGGACUAUGUGAACCACCUUGGAUUGUUGGGUUGUAUGAUGUGCACCAAAUUAUAGAGAUGUACACUUGCAUUUUUCUUUUUAUUCUAAGACAAUAUAUAACACCGUAGUAAUCUCACAUCCCAUAAAGAAAAAAAGUUGUAAUUGAAAAUAUAAAAGACUACUUACUAUAGUAAUAGUAACUAGGAUUAAGUAUUUUGGGCCGGUGGUUUAGAUCCAACGAGUUAUUAUUGCUAGCAGAUUGGGUCGUCACAUUUGGUAUCAAAGUUGGUUCAUUCGCCGGAAUUGUGAGGUGGACCUCACAUUUUCUUACGAUCUUGAACUAUGUGUGUUACAUUUGGUAUCAAAGUUGAUUCACUAGCCGGAAAUGUGGGUGGACCUCACAUCUCCUGAUGAUCUUGAGUUAUAUGUGUGAUUGGGCUGAUCAGGACGUCAAGACACCUAAACGAAGGAGUCAAUGCCACUUUAGUAGUCUCACAUCAAAUGAGAAUGGAGUUGUGAAUAAAAAUAUAAGAAACUAUGAUCCCUAGUAGUAAUAACUGGGUUUAAGUAUUUUGGACCGAUAGUUUAGGCCCAACAAGUUAUUAUUGUUAGCGGAUGGAGUCGUUACAAACUAACCUUUUAGAUAGCAUUCGAAAUAAGAAACCAGCUGCUCUAUACGGUGGUUAUUUGCAACUACGGUUUCGUUUCUUUAUUUGCAUCAUUUUAUUUUACAUGAUUAGACAGGUAAGGAAAGCAUGCAGUAACCUUUGUUUGGGCAAGCUUUUCUGAUAAUACUAAACUCCAAAUGGGGAAUCUAGUGAUCAAUUGGUGAAGAUGCUUGUGGAUGGAUAGAGGAAUAAUGAAACACAAGAGAAUUGGAUUCAAUGCUCCAAUUACACAUAUAUAGGCCAACACUAUCCAAUAUUGUGCUCUUUUCAAGGGCCCAAAACUACUGAUAUUUCAGUGAUAAGGUAUCUGACCACUGGUUGUGACUUGUGAGAGGUGAGUUUAUAAUCAAAAAAAAAAAAAAAAAAAAAAAAAAAAAAACUCAUAUAUAGACCUAAAAUUCCUAAGUAAUAUUAAUAUAAUAGAAUAUAAACUGUCUUUUCUAUAAUACUUUUUUCCACGUUCAAUUGCUCCUACUAGCUGAGAAAUAAAGAAAUAUAUCUUUACAUGCUUUUGUCCCAAAUUUUUUUUGUCCAAAUAACGUUCGGUAGCUUUUGAUACCAAUCAAAUCCCGAAUAAAAAUUAGUCGAAUACUAAGAGUUGCUUGACUACAUAUUGUUGUACAAAUCCAGAUAUGAUAUUUGGAUUGAUCAAUAAUUUAGCUGUAACUGUCAGAGCUGCAUCCAAAUUAGCUGUGAUUUCAAAUGCAAUAAUUAAAAAGAGUAAAUUUAAAUAAGAAAUAAGUUAAAGAUUAAUGAUAUAUAGAUUCAUUUAUGUAGAAUACUUGUCAAAGGGAAACUUAUUGGAGACAACCCCUCCUUAAAUUUUGGUGCCCACAAAUAAUAAAAUAAAUUAAGCAGGACCCAAAAUUAACCUCUUGGCCAUCCAGCUUUCUCCUGUCAUUGCCAUGCAAUUAAUGAAUUUAAAAUUUAUAUAUAAAAGAAAGAACUUGUGCUUAUCCAAAAAGCACCAUUCAAUGUGUGGAUAUAUCACUAGGCCACUCUUGAUGUUGGCAUAUGAUGAUGAUGAUAAUAAUAAUAAUAAUAAUAAUAAUGUGGAGCAGGUCGGGUGUGCUAUUAAAAGCAUGGAGGCCAUCAUGCUGCUAAGCCGCCUUCAAUAAUAGAGCUUUCAAAUUGACGAUCGACUCUGUUAGACUUGAUCUAGCAUAUUUGAAGUAUCUAAAUAAUAAAUUUUAUGAUUUUUCAAUAUCAUUUACUUAGUGAUCAGGUAGUCGUAGACAUUUGAUCAUACUAAUUAAUUUUUGAAUAUUAUGUGCUUCUUAAAUAAAUUUGAAAGGAUAUACUGAAUAAAAUAUUCAUGCAUCGGUUAAGCGUAAUAAAAAUCUGCCACAAUCGUUUUCGAGUGAAGCACUGUAAAAUUUUUUAAAUGGUCAAAACUUUUUCUUCUUCUUUUUGGUAAAAGCGUAUAUAAUUUAUCUGAAUUAUGAAUCAUUUUGAAUCGACUAUUCGAUCUUUUAAAAUUUUGAUUUUACUAUCUAAUCUUUCAAUUUGUUUGAUUUAAAACAGCCAACAGCAAUUUACCUUCAAAACUUGAAUAUGUUGUUUAUGUUUAUCAACUAUAAUCAAUACAAUUCUCGCAACGAUAAAUUUAUCAAAAGAAGUAAUUAAUUUAAAUUUUGAAAUCAAAAUGUCGAUAACUGACUCAAAUCAAACAAGUUAAUUAAAAAGCUUGAUAAUAAAAUCAAAAUUUUGAAGGGCUAAAAAAUAAUCCAUAUUUUAGAUAAAUACAAAACGGAACCUUCUCUCUCUGACUUUUUAUUUUUGUUUUUCAUUUUUUUCUUUUCUUUUCUUUUUUUUUUUUUGUUUUUUGUUUUUGUGUGUUAUUUGGUAGUAUUUGGGGUACAAGGAAACACAAGGCUCUCUCUCUCUCUCAUUGGUGAGUGAGUGGACCCGGAAUUGUCCCUGAAAUUAACAGAGACCCAAUCAAUUAAUGUCCCCCAUAAUCAAUUAUUUAAUGAAUUAAUAAUUAAAUUAUUACACUCACAAACAUUGCCUAUAUAUUGCCUAUAAAUAUGAGGCUAUACUUUUUUAGAGCAGCUUCUUCUCCUGUUUCCUCUUCAACUUGUAAUCUAAACUAUCUUUCUUACUACCAACUAGCUAGUUUAGAAUACAAGAAGCAGGAGAAGAUUAAAAAAAGAAAAAAAAAAAUGGAUAUCUUUAUUCCGGAGGACUACGUCAGGACUCGACGGGAGAUAAAAAGGCAGCAGAGCCAGACGCCAGCACAGCAGAAGCAGAAGCUCCAAAUUCAGAUCUUCCAAGUAGGCUCUCACGAUGGCUCUCCGUUGCCGACGCCGCGCGAUAGCCCGAGCAGCCUAGCUUCGGCGACGGCGGCGGGGGCUGCUUUUGCUUCUGCUGCAGCGAGAUUCCCGAAGGCGAGUGCCGAGGGGCGGGCUUUUUCGACCGAUCAUCUCUUCGACUGCUUCAAGCCUUACUAAAUCAGACUCCCAGAAACUCUUUGGUGUUCUUCUCUUCUGUUUGUUUGAUUAGUCUGUGGGUGGAUCUUUUAUCAUUAGUAUGUGUUUUGCUCUCUCUUAAUGUUGAGCUUCUUAUGUUGCCAAUGAAUGAUCUGGUUGUUUGUCUUAUGGCUCACUCCAGUAGAUCCAUCUGCAAGAUAUGAAUGAAUCUCAAUGAUCGAAACGAGACGACUGAAAUUCAACAAACAGCUCUGUGCGCAGAAAAUUUCUACACACUGAGACCAUCCUACAACACGCGCAAUCAGUAGCAAAAUAUGAAUCUCGACAGUCUGACAGCCCAAAAGCGCCUAAUCGAUGGCAGGAUACGAAACCUCAGCUCAGCAAUCUGAUGGCUGGGAUGAAUCUCGGUCAUCGAAACUUGACGACUGAAAUUCAACAAAUGACUACGUGUGCAAAAAAUUUCUGCACACGCACGCAGAUCAUCCUACCGCCCGCCCAUCAGUUGUGAAUCUCAAGAGCCUGAUGAUGUCUGGAUGAAUCUCAGUCAUCUACAUCAGAUGGCUGCGAUUCAUCUGGCCAGAGUGGGGCGAUGCAAAACUGCUCUACUUUCGGAGUCUGUAAAUUCCCAAACUUAACUACAGCACAAUCACAAAUAAGUACGUAACAAAUCCUAAAAAUGUAAGCAAAUCAAAUGAUUUGUGAUCCAAUUCGUAAAAAUAAGAAGAAUGGUCCAAGAAUUUACUUUUUUUAGGGUCCAAAACAUACUGGAGGAAACAGAAAAUCUAAACGACAGAAUUUAAAUACCCGUUAGUUCAUUCCGAACAUCAGACGGAAUUUAAAUACCCGUUAGCUCAUUCCGAACAUCAGAGUUCAACUCGAGUCAGAUUCACUUAAAUUAAUUGAAUCAUAACCCGAUUCGAGUCCAUCAUGAUUUGGUAGCAACCGCAGUGUUAAAAACGCACGAACGGCAUGAACUUCAGAAACCAUAUGCGGGCAAGUGCUUCAAAAUGCACGACGAGGCAAAAUGUCGAAUAGCUAAUGAGAAUUUUACAACUACAAACAGUUGAAUAUAAACUUCGAUGCAACAAAUAAAAUUGCCUUUCUAAUUUGGCCAGAAAUUUUCAUGUUCAACUCAGCACAACUUAGCAACCACAGAAGAGCCUUUGAAGUCCCUAUUUCGUUUACGGAUACAAGUAUUUCGCUCUAGUACUAUUCUCAAAAGAAAGAGUAUUACAAACAUAGCAGACGGGGAAGUGACAGAUAUCUCAGACCAACAUUGUGCAGAUGGGAAAGUUACUGAUAACUCAGUAGUCGUCGCCUCGGGAAAUUACUUCUUUACAAGUAGGUCGAAGUAAGAUAGUGUGCUCGAACUGCGACACAUAGCUUCCUUUUACAUCGCACAGAGGAGGGUACGGCUGCGAAUGGAGAGCAACAUCGUAAGCGUACCAUUAUUUGUAUCAGCAAAUGGAAAGAAAAUCUAAUAAAAACUAGAAUAGAUGAAUCUUUUAAAAUGAUCGUGAUAAGAAAGCUCAAGAUGCAUAAGUGUCUGCGACUGACAGCACAUAUCGAAGUGAAAAUGAGAGACAGAAAGCACCUAAGUUUCAUCUGUUUUUUGAUGAUACAAAAUUCAUUCGAGUAAUAGAAUUGCAGGAACAUAAAAAUGGUAACACAGCAGCUUCGCUAUAUAAGGAGAAGGGCAUAAUCAAGCUCUAGGAGUCGGCAAAUACGCUGUGUGAUCUUUAAAAGCUGCAAACAGAAGCAUAUGGUUUUGCUUCCAAUUACUGGGGCAAACAACAGGAAGAUUUUUUGGACAAAACUUCAAACCCAACAUAUAUCAAUGUCAAUAGGAAAAUUAUCUAGCAAAUUUUUAUCUGUGUUAUCCUCUCUGUUGACUUGUAUCAUGGCACUUGUCCAUGCACAUUUGACAACAACAUCAAUGACUUGCGAUAGACUCUUCCAUGUACACUACACAUGAUUUUACUAAAUCUUUGUUUUCUUUUUUUUUUAAACUCAUACUUGGGUAGCAUGCUCAAGUGAGAAGGGACAAAUUUUAAUAACUAAACGUGAUUAUAGAAUACAUUACCAACAAUAGGCAGUCAGAUUACUUUUAAAAAUAGAAGUAUUUUAUAUGAGAAAUAAGCUUGCAACUAUACCUAAAAAUGGAUCGAGCUUGCAUUUUCCUAGCAAUACCCAAAUUAUAUUAUGGCCAAAAUUAUGUAAUGAGAGAGAAUAAAUCGCAGAUCAACAAUUAUGUUCUGCUGCUUUGCUGCUUUACUAAACAUUAGUAAGAGUGUAAGACCAUAUCCACUACUACAAAAGCACAUCACUCCCAUGAUUAAUUGGAAAACAGCCAUGAAAUGGUUUUGGUAGGAAAGCCCAAAAUCUAUGUAGAUUCCAAGUUGAGCCAUUGUAUGUACCUGAACAAUACCAGCAUCACAUAGGUUUUUGAGUGCCAUAAGAUACUUGGUCUCUCCAAUACGGUCCAAGUAACGACGGCAAAAGGCCAAAGUUGAAAAGUGCUUGUUGAUUGUUGUAAGAAGUUGCUUUGCCCUCGGCAAUCUUAGCGGUAUGUGUCCAACAUCAAAGUUCUUCAUGUAAUGGCUGCAUUCCAAGUCCUCCCUAACUAGUCCUUUUCCUGCAAAUUUGCGAGUAAUUUAGGAACAAUGUCUUUUCGUGUAUUAUUUACAAAUCAUUUAGGUUAACAGUUUAAACGUUUGCAUUUCUUCAUAUUAAUUUGCCACAAACUUAAAUUAAAUCUUGAAUCUCUAUCCUCAGAAUAAGAGGUAGUUUUAAUGCCUAGAAUCAUAUCUAUGACAGGAUUAUAAUCUAUGAUGGAAUUUCUUGUCCAAACAAAUUAAAUGGUGCAUUAUGUGUAACCAAGUGCAAGCACUACAGAAGUACGUUGUAAUGUUUAUACUAGCAGAACAACUAUCACUUUGCAGCAAAGGUAUAUGUUGGUUACCUGUAGAUCCAAAAGUUUCAAUCGCAUAAAAUUCUCCUUCCUCCAUUUUUGUUUGCUCCCCACCUUUUACAAUUGGAACAGAUUUUCCAGCAUGUAUUUGAUAUGGUCCAAUACUGUGUCCGUUCAGGUUUCUCACACUUUUAACUGCAAACAAAAACAUACAGACACACAAGCAAAUAGUGUAUAAAUUAGAAAAUUUAUUUACGAAUGUAAAAAUCCUAAUUUUGGGCAUUCACUUUAAACUUGCACGAGCUCUGACUCUCAAGGCUGUGCGUAGAAAAGGAUGAGUUAUCUAAAAGAAACUCACGGGAUCUCAGACAAACACUUCGUGAGAAAAAAUUUAAGCCUAGAUGUUUCUCUAGGAGCUUCUAUUAUAUCCUUCAAUUAGUUAGAUGUUUUCGUGUACCCAUUUAUCUCGUAAAAAAUAGUCUGGCAACAGUGAUGCAGUUCAAACCUCAACAGUCCAAUUUGUGUCGGAUUUGAUCCAAUUUUAUUUAAAAUUCUAAUUUUAUUCACUUUUAUUUGACUGCUAGAAUAAGAUCAGAAUCUUUAAGUUCAGUUGUAAUUUGUUAUUUUUAAAUUUUUAUUUGAAUAACAUCAAAUUUGGACAUCAGAGGAGUUGAUUACGUUAUUGGUCUUUAAAUAAGCCCUAAAGGGCCUCUUGUAAGCAUAUAAUAGAUCACUAAAAAUAUUGUGAUAGGUUAAACGGUUCUGAACCCUCCCUUUCCACUAUUGCUCGGCUCUGAACCCUGCCUUUCCACUAUUGCUCGGCUAGAACAGCUAUGCCAUAUUCCUCCACAGAUUAUUCUCCCACUAUCUCUCCCCUUCUAUUUCUCUCUGUCUCUCUCCAUCUUGUCUAUUUCUCUGAACCCUGCCUUUCCACUAUUGCUCGGCUAGAACAGCUAUGCCAUAUUCCUCCACAGAUUAUUCUCCCACUAUCUCUCCCCUUUUAUUUCUCUCUGUCUCUCUCCAUCUUUCAUCUCAGCAAAGAGUCAGACAACACCCAUUUGCAAGACCCGCUUGCAAUUACAGUUGAGUUGCUGCCAAACCCGACCAAGCUCCUUGAACUGGCACCACCCUCACCCCUCUGCAGCAGUCCCCGCCAACCACAUCUCCACUGCCGGCUGCCUGCAAAGCUGCACCGUCAUCGACUAUUUCCUUGCUGUCAUCUUGCCAGGAACCUGGCACUGCAGCUGCUGUAAUUCACGAUGUCCACUGCGUCGGUCGGUCAAGUCCAACAUCCCCAUCACAUAAAACCCUCUCAACUGUUACUUUUACUGAGGGCCCACUAUUUAAUAUGCCAAGUACCCAUUUCUCCUGUCCCAUUCACUGAUUUCAUGCCCCAAGCACCUAACAUAGAUAACUUAUGGACCUCAGACAUUUUGUGCCACCCAUGGCCCAUCAAAAAGUUUAGAUCAGCCUUUGCACCUUCACAGAAAGGUCCCCAGUCCCGCACGUCCAUUCAGAGGACACCACUGUAACAGUGUAAAAUUAAGGCUGCAUUAGAUAUUGGCCCAUGUAUGUAUACCGCCAACGUCUAUCUUUGCUAGCUCACCAAACUGUCCAUGGUUGUAAUCUUUACUCCAGUAAAAUUCUUUUUAAGUCUCUUAUCCACUUGAGCUUACCGACUAUCUCCCAUGUUUUAAGUGUAAGGUUUGAUUGCCUCACUUCAGCUAGCAAAAGUAUUUAAGCUGGCUCAGCUACGCAAAGGAAACAGAAUAUGCACAAGAGAGAGCAAGUAAAAACAUCGAGACCCAAGGCCAGACAAUCUACCUCAAAUCAAUUUGAAAGUCUGAUAUUAUACCAAUUAGAAUGUCUUCCACAUGAGGUGAAAAGGGAAAAAAGAGUAUUGCAGGGUCAAAUAAGUACGAAAAAAAAAAUGUUUCAGCAUCCAAGAAAUAAAUGAAAUGUUAUCUGCAAAAACAAAAUCAUUAUAAAUCAGCAAGCAUUUAGUCACACCUUGGAACACCUUCCCAUUGAUUUCAACCUCAUAUGAUUCCAUGACUUCUUGAAUUGCAGCGCCAACAUCGCAAAGUCGUGCAUCUAUCCCCGCUUCCUAGAUAAGAGGACAACAUUUCGACAUUAUGAAAGUCGGACAUUGUUUACAAUCAGAAGUGAUAUUCCACAUGAAAAGGCAUUGUUCUUUCUUCACACCUACAUAGAUAUUUAUAUUCACGAUAGAACCAUCAUUGAACAUUUUCACCAGUGUUUCACUAUGCCUAGUACAUCAUUGAUGAUCUAUCCUCUUUAGAGAUUGCAACAUCUGAUAAUCAUCAAUCUAUAAAGAUGAAAUAGACAAACUGAAACUCCAGAAACAUAAUUAGUUAACAAGGCAAACAACUUAUCUAUAAACUAUAAUGAUGAAACUAAUGGACUAUGGAACCAUCUCCAUUCUGGUGCUUGGCUCCUAUAGAUCAAUGCGCUAUGAAGGAAUGCACAAGCAGUAGAAAUUGACUGACAAAGAUUCAGCAAUUCGAUCAACAUGUUGGUAGAUGAUUGCUUCCUAAUUGUUGCUAAUCAGUGAACCUGGCACUUAAGACACAAAUGAACUGGGGAUAGACAGGCAGAAACACACUAUAUACUCCUUGAUUAUUUAGGCCUUCCAAUGUGUAAAUGCGCAUGAAGCUAAUAAGCUAGUGAAAAAGAAUCACAAGCUCUAUUCUGCUUGCCUGGCCAUCCACCGACCCAUGCCACCCCAAACCCUCGAGCCUAAAAAAGGAGGGGAAAAAAAGGACACAAAUCUCUGCAGUAGUUCCAUACCUUCAGGCUUCAGUUGCUAAUAGGUUGAAUUGUGAUACCAGAAUGAGGUAAAGAGUAAUUCAAAGGGAAGAUAAAGACCAUAGGUUACACUGAAGCAGACAAAAAGAUAAGCAAAAUUCUACAUUCUCUUUGUAAGGAAAGAAAACACUUACCAAAGAUAUUUUCUCGGGGAAAAAAAAAGAAAAUACUCAAAAAAAAGACCAGUAAAAAUUCCUAAAGCAUGUCAAACAGACCAAAGAACAUUAUGUAAAACAUUACCUUAACCCCGGUAUUUGUAGCUUCUCUUGAAGCCUCAAGCAACGGAUUGAACAUGGGAUUAAAAGCCACUGUAAAUGCACAAUCAACAAUAUGUCCUGAAAACACAAAAAACUAUUCAAGUUGGAAAACUUCGAGAACCUGUUGUCCAAAAGGUUUUCAGGGGAAUAUUGCCCAGGAAAACUGCAAGCGUAAAUAUUCAAAAGAAAAAAGCAGGAAAUAAUACAGCUAACAGCUAAGCCUACCAUCUAUGUGUGUUCCAAAAUCCAACUUCAUCACAUCAUCAUACUGAAGGACAGUUUUAUCACCGGAAUUGGGAGUCCAAUGAGCUGCAACCCUAUAAGCAAGCCAUAGUCAAGCCAAGUCCAAGGAACAUAAGAACAGAGAAAAGUAUUUCACAGCAACAGUACCAAUUUAGGGAGCAUCCUGUCGGAAAAGCAAUGCCCGCUUGAAGCCCAUUCUCUUUGAUAAGUUUCCUUACCAUAUUUUCCAAGGUCUCACACAGGUCAAUCAUUAAAAUUCCAGGCUUCAAAAUACUCCUGAUAUAUUUCCGAACCUAACAAUCAAUAACAAUGUACCAUCAUUGUUGUGAGGUGAAAUAAUAUGUAAAAUGGAUUGCAAGGCAUUUGACUAAUCGAACAUGUUUAGUAAUUCUAACCUGUCGAUGAACUUCAGCUGCUCGCCGAACUACAUUGUACAUAGGCUUCUCUAGCCGUUCUAAUUCCCUCUUUUCCUCCGAGGUUGUUCUCCAUAGAUUACUGUGAAAAUAGUCUAAAGUAAUUAUGCGCUCCAGCAAAUCAAACAUUACCCAUUUGCAGUUCAACAAAGGUUGUCUGACAAUAGCUCAGUUAAAGAAUCAGCAACUCCUUGUUACAGCAAAUAUUGAAAUUAUGAAAGAACAAUCAGUAGGCAGUCAUGGGAAAACUACAUAAAUCAGAUAACAUUUUAAGCAACUCUUCCAGCGGAUAUUUCAAGAAAUAACGUCUGCAAAAAGAAUCCUGCAAAAUGACUCGGAUGGGAAGUAAAAAACCAAGAUAUACUAUAUGAGGCCUAUUGUAUCCUAAAAUAUCCGAAAGAAAGUACCAGAAAACCAUUAUUGACUAUAAUGACAAUAGGUUCAAAAAGAAAGACUAGCAUUGGAUGAACAAGCCAAAACAAAAUUGACAAUAAUAAAAGAAGCAUCUGCGCUGAAUAUUUGUUACAUUAUUUAUCAACAAACUUGAUGCUGCUUGUCUGAGACAGCUUUGACGCUGAAGCUAGUUAACUCCUUUUUCUUGGAUGUGACUAGAAACCAAUAUCUUUCCAACUAACACAACAAUACAGCUGAAAAGAAAUUUCUACAAUUUAGUAAAUAAUCCAAGCUAAUGAUUGUGUUUUCAUGACAACUCUCAUACAUACAGAUACUACAUAACAAUGAUAAAAGGUGAUUAAGUGCCAAUCUCAGUUCUAGUAAGCUUUCAAACUACAAUUUAAAUACUCUCCAAUGGAUCAAAUUUGGCAUUAAUAUUGGGCAACCUACUAAAAAUUCGUAGUUUUACUAGUUUCCACUAAAGUCCUAAAAAGUAACUAUCAGAAAAUCAAAACCAUAAAUAACUACAAACUGAAUAAUUGUUAAAAAAAUCACAGAACACAGAUAACUGCAAACUCAUUUUAGGAGACUAUAAGCUAAUAUGCACCUACCCAGCAACAUUUGGCGUUAAAUUCGAAAGUUCUCCUUUUAAUUAAUAAACUACCACAAGGUUUAAAUGUACUUAUGAGUGUUCAAUUAACUCAAAGAAGAGAUCCAGUUCUUCAAAAAUGAAAAACACUAAAGAGUGAGCAAGGAGCGAAUUUGUAUUCAUGUUGGGCAAAGUAAGAUAUAAGAUGCUGAUUUUCUAACUCACAAAAGACCAAAGCAUAAAAAAGUAAUCCGAUCGCUUAUUGAUAACACUGACAACUAAAAUAUAGAAUUAUAUGCUUACUCAUCCUUGUACUGCUGGAUUUCGCCCUCAGGAAAUUCUCCGGAAGGAAAGAGUUCAUCAACAGGAAUAGAUGGUGGGUCGGUCUGCUGAAGAGGCUCUUUCUUUUUCCUACAGAUGACAAAUAACAAACAAUAAUAGAUACCAAAGCAAUAUAAAAUUCAAAAUUCUCAUGGCUUAUAGAACAGAAGCACUUACUUGGAUCUACUCUUCUUCUUCUUCUUCUUCGAUGUUUCUGGUUCCAAGAUCGAUUAAGCAGUAAGUAUUUCGAAAUGUUUGCCAUAUCAGCUUUUUUUACUAAGUCAGAAGAUAACCUCAAAAUGAUAUAAUGCCAGCAAGAAGAUAUUGUUUGGCAUAACAGAUACAUAAACAGCUAAAGACUUUGAAAUUACAGAUAAACAAACAGCUAAAGACUUCAAACUUCAAGCAAAUGCACCAUUUCAUAGCUAAUGCUCUGCAGGGUGAAAUAAAAGAGUUUGCUCUAGAAGGGAUGCAGAUGAUUUUUCAGGCAUCCAGCUCAAGUCAUUUCAUAAUAGAUCAGGUAAAUUAUACUUUCCAUGACAUACAUUUUUAGCCAACCAAAAUCCUGUUUAACACUUUAAUUCACCCAUAUUUGUAUUUCUAUUAAACAUAUUUAUUAAACUGACCAUCUUUCAGUUAUAUAGUAAGCACAUGCUUAUCAGCAUAUUAUUCUUCAUCAGGGAUCAAGCAAGUGACGUAAAUUUGGCUUUUCAUUCCACUUCCUUCUUCUGUUUAUUCCAUUUAAAUAUUCAUAUUAAAUGCAAGAAAUGAAGCUACGGAUUGACAAACAACAACCUUGUUACAAGGUCUUAGCGACGAACUAGCCCUUCUAAUGACAGGACUAAAACCAUGGGCUUGCUGGGUAGUCUGGAGUUUCUGCAGAAAUGUAGUCUCCAUAGAGCAGUUUGCAGAAGCAAUAGCAUUUCUCAUUAAAAUCCCUCCAAUGACUCUUCAUUGAAGUUUUAAGAAGCUUUAAACUGAUCACCUAUUAGCCCCAGAAGCUUAUUUAGUUUUCUACUUCAGCCAAAAGCUCUAAACAUUUUAUUUUCCAAAACCAUUGGUUAUACUUCUCGAUAAAAGCACUUACUGAAAGCUGGGUGAAACAAUCUACAAGUAUUUCUAGACUAGCUCUGGCAAUAACCUCACGCACUAGGCUGACCCUUUUCAUACGACUGCUCUUAACCAAUAACUGACAAAGCAUCACAGCUGGUAGUAGAAUAGCUAAACAAUCAAAAAGAUGCAAUACUCAGUACAACAUCGGUAUCACCAAUAACUACGUUAAUGAUUAGUGGGGAGAGUUAAACUGUGUUAAAUAGACAUCACACAUCUCACACUGCUUCAAUCAUGAUAAAUUAUUGUCUCGGCUAAACUAAUCACACUAUCUGCAUCACGUAUAGUCCGUCAUGUGCCCCUGAAUAGGGGUCCUUUGAGUCUUAAAAAUCUUUUCUCAACCACCAAAGUUAGCAUUCUCAACUACCAAAUGUUGUUUGCCUCACCCAAUCCACAAAACCAGGUCCAGCUGAGCCAUAGAAUCUCUCAUUGUCAUGUGUUAGCAUUUAAACUACACUAUCAAACUUUGAAGGAAGAAAAUAAGUUCAAUUUUCGACUUAUAACUAUGUCAACAAAAAAAAUUACAAGAAGAUUCUUAUUUGUUUUGCUCUUUCCUCCACCAAUAAUACGGUAACCGGCAUUAGUAGAAUUACAAUGCUCGGGUCAAUUCCUAGAUUUCUUGUCCCAAUCCCACAUUAUUCAAUCACAAUCUCAAGAACAGUAUGAAUAAAUUAUGCCCCAAAAUGGCCUACCAAACGUUAAAGAAUGACCAAAUAUUCCACAUAGCAAAGUAAAGUGAAAACAGCUCAGAAGAGACUACAGAAACAAUAGGAUAAUUCAAAACAUGUUAGCCGUUAAAAUAAGAUUAUAAGGCCAACAAGCUGCCAAUCCAUUGAUUGGAAACACAAAGUAAAACAGCCAGGCAAGGUUAAAAUAUGCAAUUAUGAACCACCUGAUGUUCCAUCUUGAGCAGGACCAUCUCCUUGCUGGUCAUCUUCGUCGUCCGGCACAGAGGAUUCGGAUGCACAAGCCUUACCAUUGCUCUCUACAAGCUUUGAACCUUUAUUUUCUUCUGGCUCAGCUGAUCGUACUUCAGCCACGUUAUUUAAACUCUCCUGCAUGCAAAAGAAAUGUUAUAAGCAUGCAAAAUGAUACUGAAAUAGUUAUUGAAAGCAGAAAAGUUAAUAAAUUUGCAAAUGUUACUAACAUCAGUUGUUUGCUUUGGACCAAUAUGUAAUCCUUCCACGCCUUCAACUACUUCAGCCUUACUUCCACCCAUCUCCUCUCCCUUAUCGCGGACAACUUUCUUUAUCCCAACCUGAAUUUAGAACAUGCAAAGAAAUUUAAAAUUCUGCUUGUAAAGCUAGACAGUAGAUAGAUACUUCCCUGAGGAGAAGAUUCUGAACUCGAUUCCUUUGGAUGUAACAUUAAAUAGUGUAAAGAAUAACCACUAAAAGUUUGAUCGAUGAUGAUGAUCCAAGUUCCUUGGAAACAUCUAGAAUAUUCUGAGGAGAAGUAAACCUAUUUAGCAGGACAUAAAACCAUGGUGGGAUUAAACCUACUUGUCAUUUUCCGCAUACACUUAUUUACCAGGACAGAGUAAACCUAUUUAGAAGAAUAAAAGAACAUGGUGGGGUUAAGCAUACUUGUCAUUUUCCACAUACACUUAUAUACCAGGACAAAGCCAUGAUUAAGACCCUAAGGUAAACUUUUGUCGAAAAACACAUGAUGAUAUAUAGAUUUCUAUUACUAGAUUUCAAAAAAUUUAUCACCAAUAAAAGAACAAGUACAUUUAACUCUUGCUGUAAUAGCUUAUGAGCAAAGUUGAGAUUUUGUUUUCUUGAAAAAAAAAAGAAGAAAAGAUAAAGCGCUUAUACGUAGUAUAGAUAGUUGUAGAGAUUGAUUGCCCCAACUCCCAAGAUGAAAUAACAGUUCAGUAAUUCUUUAUCGGAUAUAUCUGAAGAGAUAACAAUCCAGCAAUACUCUGAUUAACUCCCCCAACUUGCCUCUUGCUUUGAAAAUCGACUUUAGGGUAGAGCAAAUGAGCUGAAUACAUAAAAAACUGUUUGCAUGUCAGAACAAAUUAUCAAGCGACAACUUGUGAGCUACAACAAUUUUCUUUCUUGCGAUCGCAAUCUAAGAAUUUGCUUUUCGUCCUUGCAAGAUCCGGGCAGUCAUGCUUUACUAGCAUAACGCAUUUCACGUAAGAAGUAAUUUAUCUUACUCGGUGAAAAUUGCUUAACACAUCUAAUCAUACUCUCCAUCUACCAAUUACUGCAUGCUCCUUGAGCUAACAAAAAGCACCUUUGGGGAUCCAAACAGGCCAUUCUCUAUUGGGACGCAUUAACACGCCAACAAGAGCAUAUAAUUGCAACAAUAACCAUAAUUUAAAAGCAAAAAAAGCCUUAAUAGAAGGAACUUGACACGCAAAUUUCUCGUUUCCUACAAUCCAAAACAAAAACAACCAAAAUCCAAGAUGAUGAUCCACUACACCGCAAUUAUGAUACAACAAAAGCAUUGCCAAAUCGCAAAAUUGAGGUGCGGGAACAAGUCGAGUUGAAACCAAACUGCAGAACCAGCUAGGGUUUUGCCAAGAGGGGGAGAGAGAGAGAGAGAGAAGGGAUCGUAUUAACGAGGUUUGCGAUAUCGGGAUCCUACGCCAUGAUCAAAAGCUAGGGUUUUGGGAGAGGAGAUCGAGGAGGAGAAGAGAAUCGUCGCAUACCCGAGAGAGAUGAUAACAGGGUCGGCGAAUUCGCGAAGUGAGAGAGAAAGAGGGAGAAGGGCUUAUUACUACUACGGGUUAAUUGUACUAUUGGUCCCUAAUCUUUACUACGUUUUUACUUUGGUGCUUAAUCUUUGUUUUUUUUUGCUACUUAGGCCCCUAACCUAUAUAUUUUUUUGCAGUUAGGUCCUAAUUAUUUAAAAUUUUAUUUAUUUAGACAAAAUAAGCCACUCUCACUGCAUCAGCCACAUUAAAACUCUGCUUACAAAUUUAGAUCAUGAUCAUGAUCCAGCUUCUCAUGGUCAAUCUGGACAUCGACUUUUUUAAAUUUCUGAAAGUUUAAUGGUGCGUCUGAUUCAAUGCCGAGAGUGUCAAAUGACUCAAAAGCGGUGCUAGGCGUCAUGUGUGAGGUUUGAAAUAAUUAUAAGCAUGGAGGAUAGUAUUGAGGAUGAUGAAAUUGGGUUUCAUCUGAAGUGCGAGCACAUGGGAGAAAACGUUAAAGAUAAAAGUGAAAAAAAAAAAAGGUAAAGAUGAAGGAUUUGAUUGUCAAAAAUAAAAGAACAAUACUACCGAUACAAUUCAAAAUGAAAUGUAUUAUUUACACCUACUCCAUUCAAGACUAUUAAUACUCUACUUGUCACAUCAAUUUUUUUUAAUUUUUAUUAAAAUUUAUUUAAAUUUUUAUCAACCUUGUGAUGGAGGGUGUAAAAUGUACACCCCUUUUUCGGUGUACACAAAAUAUUUUUUUCCUUUCUUAUUUUGGUCUCUAACUUUUUAUUUUAGAAAAGCUUUUUGUAUACUUUAAAAGAAAUAUAAAUCUUAUACCCUAUUCUAGAAUUAAUAAAAAUUCAAAUAAUUUUUAGUAAAAAUAAAAAAAAAUUGAUGUGACAAGUAGAGUGUUUUAUAGCCUUGAGAUGAAAUGGGUGUAAGAUAUAUAUUGCUCAACAAAAAAAAAAAAAUCAAGUGAAGACCAGGGACCAAUGGUGCAGUUAAACCUCACUAUUAAUAGGGUAAACUUUAAAUACCAUUCCUGUAAUUUUGCAUUUUCUCACUUUGGUACCUUGUGGUUUAAAGUGUAUUGACUUAGUACCUUGUGAUUUCAUUUUUCUUUUUUCAUCGGCCCUUCCGUUAACUUUUCGUCAAAUCAUAUACAAAAAACUUCGGAUAUACCCCACCUAUAGUUUAUCGAAUAUUUAAUUUUAACUUUAUUACUAAUUUUACGAAAAAAUUAAUAAAAGGAAUAAUAAAAAGAGAAAAACAAAAUCACAGAAUACAAAAGUGAUGCAUUUUAAACCACGGAGUAUUAAAGUGAGAAAGUGCAAAACCGCAUGGGUGGUAAUAUGUAGGCGUGU
Molecule: long non-coding RNA, 52621 nt
Filed under: Ananas comosus (pineapple)
Lineage: Eukaryota; Viridiplantae; Streptophyta; Magnoliopsida; Poales; Bromeliaceae
Description: long non-coding RNA (ACOM_LNC026376)
Source: RNAcentral